Molecule: long non-coding RNA, 49932 nt
Filed under: Malus domestica (apple)
Lineage: Eukaryota; Viridiplantae; Streptophyta; Magnoliopsida; Rosales; Rosaceae
Description: long non-coding RNA (MDOM_LNC004302)
Source: RNAcentral
AGAAACCGACUGCUUGGAACCUUUCCCUGAGUGCCUGCCUAGCACUGCUCUCGAGUACUCGUCUUCCACUGCUGCUGUACUUUCAAAGAAGCUACCAUAUCUGCCUGGAGAACAGAUAAGGCAAGUGAAAAUGAUACCUUGCAGCAUGUGGAGACAAGGUGCAGAAGGAACAAGCAGAGAAGAAUGCGUUCUGCACAGUCAACUCAGCAGAAGAAGUCCGAGCUGAAGAACUCGAGAAGCUGCCACAUCUGCCUGAAGAAACAAGCAGAGAAGAAUGCAGCAUGCACAGUCAACUCAGCAGAAAGAGUCUGAGAUAAAGAACUUAAGAAGAUGCCACAUCUGCCUGAGGAACAGAUAAAGCAAGGGAAAAUAAUACAUUGAAGCAUGUGGAGACAAGCACAACAAAGCACGUGCCGAUUCAUCCGCUGCUUCUUCAAAAUCAAAAGUAUCUCAUAUCAUCAGGGUUGCAAUCACUCUGGACGGUGAACUCGUUUUGACCCUGAAAUUCUUGGGUCGACUUACUAGGUGUUGUGGGAUGCACGUGCCGAUUCACCACCCUUGAAUCGAAUCCUUAAAGAUCAAGUCACCAACUGGAAGAAAGCCCCAUCAAUCUUGAAGAUCAUACCGUUGACCAAACUGCUCAGGUGUGAAUUAGAAAGAUUGAACAAAGAAACAGGUUGUCACCUUUACCUCGUGCCUGCUUGCCAUGUGUUCGAGUCAACCUUUAAGAAUCAAGCCUCAACGGCCCUUGAAGAAGUUUCCAACCAAAUUCAAGAUCAAGCCUCGACGGCCCUUGAGGAAAUCACAAGUCCAAUUCAAGAUUAAGUGUCUACCACCAUUGAAUCAAAACCUAGUUCAAGAAUAAGUUGUGGAAAAUCAACAAUUGGAGGAAUCCAGAAAAUCCUCCAACCCAGUUCAAGAUCAAAGCUGUGGAAAGUCAACAAGCGCAACAAAAUAUGUGCCGAUUCACCCACUACCAAAGCCAAAGAUCAUCUACCACAUGAAGCUCCUUGUGGUCCAAUUUCAACCUUCAAGAUCAAGCCUCGACAGCCCUUGAAGAAAUUUCAAACAAAAGUUCAAGAACAAGCCUUAACGGCCCUUGAAGAAAUCUCAAGCCCAAUUCAAGAUCAAGCUUCAAUGGCCCUUGAAGAAAUCUCCAGCCUAAUUCAAGAUCAAGCCUCGACGGCCCUUGGAUUGACAUCUACAGUAAAGGACUUCAAAACGCAUCUCCUACACGUGACAAGCACAUGUAUACGACGCGCCUUGAAGUGGGGGCAUUUGUAGACAUCGAAAUUUCGGUAAAUAAAUGUUGACCGAUAAAUCAAAGUGUCAACGCUCAUGUAUUACAUAAAUUUUACACGUAGCGUGUGACUCAACGAAAAUUGAAAUGAGUUGGAAAAGUCAUCAAAUAGGACACGUGUCAACACCUGGCAGAAACGACUUAUUUCAUCUGGGAUAUUAUAUUCAAAAUUAGGCCUUGGAAAAUUCUAUAAAUACAAGCCCAUUUCAUUCAUUUGAGGGGGAACCAAAAUCAUUAGGCAAAAUUCUUAAAGCUCUGAAGUUCUGAAACUCUAAAACUCCGAAGCUCUCAAGCAUCCAGGUUCCCGAAGAAUCAAGAAAUCUCUCUUCGUUCUUCGUUCAUCGUUCUUCGUUCAUCGUUCUUCCAAGAUCAAGCCCCAACGGCCCUUUGGAUCAACAAUCAUCCACCACUUCAAGAUCAAGCCCCAACGGCCCUUGAAGAAAGUGUUCUUCGUUCUUCGUUCUUCGUUCAUCGUUCUUCCAAGAUCAAGCCCCAACGGCCCUUGAAGAACUUCCACCAAUUCAAGAUCAAGCCCCGACAGCCCUUGAAGAAAGUAUUCAUCGUUCAUCAUCCGUUCAUCCAAGAUCAAGCCCCAACAGCCCUUUGGAUCAACAAACGUCGACAAAUCCACACAUCCAACCGUUCUUCAAGAUUAAGCCCAAAAGCCCUUGAAGAUCCGUUCAUCACUGUUCUUCAAGAUCAAGCCCAAAAGCCCUUGAAGACCCGUUCAUCAUCGUUAUUCAAGAUCAAGCAUUAACGGCCCUUGAAGAAAUACUCAUCAAACCCCAACGGCUUAUUGAAGAUCCGCUCAAAUCCACCUUCAAAGAUCAAGCCCACGGCCCCUUGAAAGAAACUUCCAAUAGUUCAUCCAAGAUCAAGCCUCGACAGCCCUUGGAUCAACGAAACAUCCACAAAUCAACGCCUUACGGAGAUCGAAUCAGAGGAUCAAAAUUGAGAGAGAUUGUAACCCAAAAUCAUCAAAUACAUAAUAUUUGUUUGUGCACGUUGUUCUUGUCUCUUUCGUUUCAGGAAUUUUCCGUGUUUACAGUCAUUUACGCUUUAUUCUUCUUACUGAAUUUCAUUUUUAAAAUUUUAUUUUUUGAAAACAUGAUCAUCUGGCGGAUGUAAGAAGAUGAUAUCAUGUUUCUAUAUUUACGGUUAACUGAAAUAUGAGUCAAUGUCAUAUAAUUUGUAGAAACUUUAUAAACAUCAAGCAAUAUUUUCACUAACCGUAAAACUCUAAAUAUAAUAUCAACGAUCCAAACCGUUCAUCUACCUACACCCUCUAAUAGAUCAUGUUUUCAAAAAUGAAAAUCUAAAAAAACGAAAUUUGAUAAGAACAAUGAAGCAUAAAUGUAAACAACAAUCAACGGUUAAAUUUUGAUCUAUGAAUUAUAUGAUUAUAGUAGCGAAUUUCGAAGUUAAGCUCUUCAUAAAAGUUAUAAAGCUUAUCAUUAAGAGUGUUUAUAUAUUUUUUUCUAUAUUUUUUUACACUUCUACAUUAAUUAAAAAACUAUUAAAGACUUUAGGUAAGCGAAAAUAUACUUCAAACAAAAUUGUGUUUUUAUGUUUUGGAUGUGAUAAUAUGGAAUGUAUAUACUUAUUUAGUAUUAUGUUUUUCAUUUGAUUAUUUAUUGGUUUAAAAUAUAUUUUUCUUAACGGGUAACGGGUCAGGUCAUAUUACCUGUUAAUAUUAUCGGGUCGAUUUCGGGUCGGGUCAUUUUACCCGUUUAUUUUAACGGGUGUUACACGACACGACCCGUUAAGAUAUCAGAUAUGACACGAAAACGACACGAACACGGAAAACACGAUACGAAUGCCAAGUCUAAUAUAUAUAUAUAUAUGUAUAUGUAUAUGCUUAUAUCUUAAUUAUGGGAAAAUUUUACAUGUUUUACAGCAAGGGGUUAGUAUGUUGAUAAAUGAAAUGGUUUUGUAAAACAUUUGUUUUUGCCCACUCACGUUUUCUAUUUUGCGCCCCUUUAGGUUUUAAGUAAGCUUGUUGUUGGUGGCUUGAGGAUGUUGGCAGUUCUGACUUAUCUAAAUAAUAGUAGGACAUUUCUGGUACUGUAUAACUAGUACUUGUCCUACUGGACUACACCUAAACUUUAUGCUCUGAUUAGGAGUGUUCACUGUUGUAACUAACACUAUCACUUUCUGUUUAGUAGUACACUCUAGUAAUUUGGUUUUUAAUUAUUCGUAUAUUUCUUAUCUUUAUUGCUUCAGCACUACGCACAUGGCUACGUCACUCUCACGUGACGUCCAGCAUGCCUUGAUCUCGGUCGGGGUGUGUCAGUGAAUGUUCAUGCUAUCAGGGUUGCAAAAAUAUCAAGAUAAAAACCUUUGUUUUGGAAGAACCUGAUUACGUGAUGAUAUAGAUGAACUGGUUUGUUGCAAAAAAAGCUUCAUUGUUAGAUUCUUAAGUGCAGCAGUAAGAGCGUGUUGUAGCUUAUUUUAUCUCACUACAGGGUAUGGGCAAUGGCAGGGAGAGACGUGUUUGUAGAAUCAUAGGGGAAUGUGUGUUGAGAAUGUGUUAUCUCCCUACGCAGUGCUUUUAUUUAUAGUAAUAAGAGGAAGAAUAAUUCCUUCAUCCCUAAGUAAUACAAAUCCAUAUAGGAAAGAAUAACUAAAAUAAAAUCUAAUCUAGGAUUUACACAAUCACACUUAAAUUAGGAAAGUUUAUAACACCAUCUAAAUUCUAAUAAUUAAUUAUACUUUUUUUUUAAACUAAUUAAAAGGGUUUGAAAAUUUUGAGUUUUAACGAUAUAAAGUGAAUAGUACCAAGAUUAAUUUUUUAGUGUAAAAAUGUGGUUUUUCGUUAAAGUGAACAGUACUAGAAACUUUUCUUUAAAGUUCCUUUUUUUUUUUUUUUUGAUUUUUUUGAUUGGAAAAAUAAAAAAAAUAAAAAAGGUGGAGGAGGGUGCAUCAUGCAGUGGCACGUGACUUCACACGAACGUCUUCCAGGAACUCAGGAAUUAAGCAUACAGACAAUCGCCGAAAGGUCUUCAAUUUGGGGUCACAUGAGUUAACUACGUCCGUCCGAUCAACAUACUUUUCUUGUUCCAACAAUCCAGCCGUAAAUAAUUAAACGCCACCAUAGCAUCGUACACCUGAAGCAACACCGUAAUAUAUCUCCUCUUGGCGAGCCGGAAGAGCAAGUGUCUUUGUUCUUCGCUGGAAAUAUUUUUCUAUUCAUUUUCUUUUCCGAAUUCCGAUUAUCCAAACGGGAGCGAGGAAGAAGAAUCCGUCGGACAAAAUCUCACUGACCGGAGCAUCCAAUCCAAAUGGCGGUUUCCGUGACGGCGUCCACGAUUCCUUCUCUCAGCUCUGACCGUACGACUCGCUUAGCUGCGGCGGCGGCCUCAUCCUCCUCCUCUUCUUCUUGUUCAAAGCUGUCUUCCUCUACUUCUCUGCGAUUUCCGGCGCAGCUUCGACGUGUUCGGAUCGGAACUCAGGACUCACGGCCUCGGCUUCUUCCUCCGGUAAUGAAUUUUCCGUUUUUGUAGUUUCGUAGUCUGUUUGUUUCCCGAGAAAAUCGAGGAAUUUAACCUGAUGAAAUUGUGUAGCGUUAAAAUUCCUGUUCUAAAAUUUCUGUGUUUUGUAGUGGAAGAGAUUGCAAAAUUUAAAUUUAGGAAGCAAAGCAUACAACUGCAAAUCUUGUUGUUAUCAUAUUUAUGGCCCAAACACCAAUUGCUUUGUAUUUCUUUGGUCCUUGCCGUUUCCUAUGAGUUGUGAGAAAAUCACAUGGGUCGGUUUUCGGAGUUUCCAAAUUUUAGUCUUUUCAAGAGAAUAAAGACAUUUAAUCGAAAAGUGCAGGAAAAGUAAACUCAGAGGAUGGUUUGCAAGACAUAGAUUUAGCAUGCUACAGGAGGCAUGUGGAAUAUAGAGCUUAAGGACAUGGAACUCACUAUUGAUUGUCUUUGAAAUGGUUUUGUACUUGAUUUUGGCGCACGCAGUUGAUUUUUUAGACUAUCGGUAAACUAAUUUGGAAUCAAACCUCUCUCAAACAAUUAGAAUGCACAAUGUCACCGAUAUAGGAUAUUAGGUUGCAUCAGUUUGAUCUUCCCCCAUUUUCCAGGUAAAGUACCUUUUCAUGAUAACCGUUUGGGGCAUAAAGUUGGGAAGGGACAACCUAGAACCAAAAUUAUUGAAUGGGAUGAAAGGUGUAGAUUGUAAAACUUGGAUAGUAUAUCUUGUAACGAUUUGAAUGAUAGAGACAGUGAGCAAAUCCAUAUUCGGGGCCUUCAUGCAUGGACUCGAGUGUUCUUUAAUCAUCUAAUCAGAAGCCGAUUGUUUAUACCAGUCAAUCGACGGUCCUCCUAUCACUACUGGCUUUGCCUCAAGUUACAAGUGAAGUUUCAAUUCAGGAUGAUGACCUAUCAUGUUGAAGAUCAACACCAGCCCAAUUGGUGUUUGGAUUCUAGAAGAUUCUAGCAGCAAGUCUAGAGGGCAGAGCUUCCUGAAGACUUGCACUUUGUCCAGGUGCAAUGGAACUAGAUUUUUCUAUAGAAUUAUCUAAAGCUAAGUAGUCUUUUGUAGAAAGGAUUAGAAGGAUGUUUCUUAUGUCGGUGGAAGGCUGUGUGCAUGAUCAAUGCACUAGAAAGUUCUAGUGAUAGUAUAAGUCGGCAAACAUGCCUUAUAAAUAUGUAUGUAUGAGUGUUGUAAUGUAACCAAGAAGAAGUAAGAGAGCAAACCAAGAGAGAGCUAAGUAAGAGAGUGAGAAGCCUUGUAAGUGAGUAGUCUUGUAAAGAGUGUGAGUGGUCUAGAGUUUGUCUCUAGAAGUGAGAGAGUGUCAUACGUUCUAAAUUGUGUCCUUGAUAGUUGUUGUGUUGUAAUAUUCUGUGAGUUAAUACAAGUAAUUUGUUUACUUGUUUUGUCUCUCCAACACUUGUGUUAGAGCUGUGUAUUCUAGUUUUUCCUCAACAUAUCACUUAGGUGGUUAUCCAUAUGGACCAUGUUGUGACAGUUUCAAUAGCUGCGUGUACUCUUUCUUUGCUGUCUUUGGAAUAUUUAGCCUGUAUAGCUGAAUUACGAAGUGUGACUGAAUUGGUGAUUCAGUAAUUACAUGUAUAUGUGGAAAAAAAAUUACUUUUCGUAGGUUGAAGCAAAGAAGCAAACAUUUUCAUCCUUCCAAGAUUUGCUGGCUACCUCUGAAAAACCUGUGUUGGUUGACUUCUAUGCAACCUGGUAAGCUUUUCUUGUGUAUCUCACUUCUUAUUUUGUUUGCAAUUUGUCAUUAUUGUUGUAUUGUCAGCUAAACUUUAAUUCCUAAACAAGGUGGUAGCUAUUCACCUUUUAGGUUUUCCCUCUCUAUAUAAAGGUAAGAAUAGACAAUUAAGUAAUAAACUCUGGUUGACAGGUGUGGACCUUGUCAAUUUAUGGCACCCAUCCUCAAUGAAGUCAGUAUUACGCUGAAUGACAAGAUCCAGGUUGUGAAAAUUGACACAGAGAAGUAUCCUAGCAUUGCUGAUAAAUAUAACAUACAAGCAUUGCCUACUUUCAUCAUAUUUAAGGAUGGAGAGCCAUUUGACCGCUUUGUAAGUUGAAUUUGUUCUCUUUUUUCCUUUGGGAGAUUAAUAUGUUUGCCUUUGGUAGACGAUCAAAUGUCUAGAAAUGUGUAAUCUGUCACAUAACAUCUCAUACUGAUUGCAUGCUUUUUAUACGGCCAGAAUAUGGACGGGUAUUGUCAAGUUGUUACGAUUUGCUGUUAAUUCCACUUUUUAGAUUUUGUAAGAUAUCCUAUGCACUUGCAUUGGUUUACAAUUUCGUCAGGUGUGUUGCUUUGCAUGCUUUUCUUCUUCUUUUGCUUAGUUUUGAUUCGAAGAUGUUGAAUUUUAAGGAUUUAUGUUCUCUUAGAUCCAAAAUAUUAAAUAGAAUAAAUAAUGUAUGUUCUCCGUGCAUGUAUGCAAGGCACUGUUAGAUUAGUUUUGGCGGUUUUUCUUUUUGGUUUUUUGGUCGAUUUUAAAUAUCUAUGAUGACUUUGCUUUCAUUACUUGCAGGAGGGUGCUAUGACUGCUGAUCAGCUUGUCGAACGAAUAGAAACUACUUUGAAAGUUAAGUAGGAGACAGGUGAGCUCUAUAAUAUUCGUGAGUUGAGAGCACUCGUAUCGUCCGCUGUUCUUUCUCUGCUUCCUCCUCCCCAUUUCCUAACCUUUCCUUUUUCUUCACUCUUCAUUUAUUGGUCCAGCUUCUCAGGUUGAACCGAGAAGCUGAUCGAUUCAGCCGCAUUGCAAGAAAAAUGGAUUUUAUGAAGAAAGGCACUGGAUGUUUCCUCUGCUUUUUUAUUUUUUGUAUGUAACUGGUUUGUACCAACAAAAAAGUUACGAGACUUGGCGUAAUCGCACGGGUAAAGCUUAGUGAAAACAAUUUUACGAUGUCAGUUUCUGUUGUGAUAUACACAUCCACAUCAGUUGCAUUUGAUUGAAAUUCAUGAUUUGGAAAAGUUAAUGAAAUUUUGUGGACAUUCAUUUCAUUUGCAAUGCAACUUAGACCUUAUUGGCAAUUGGUUUGUGGACACAAGAUUUACUACUUAAUUUGGAUACCUUGUCAAAUUAGAGUCAAUAAUUAACAAUGGCAUAUCUAGUAAGAAGUUAUUUCUGCAUGCCUCCCUUCCCAUUUCCUACGGCUGUUUAGCUUGCAAGCACACAAAUCAUUUGUAAUAAAGAUAUGCAAAUACGAGAUCAAAUUCAUCGAGAUUGAAUGAACAAUAAUUUGGUAUCUUAUGUUUAGCUGCGGACAUGACUGACCUCAGGAGGUCUCAAUGGAAAAAAUUUCAGAAAAAAUGUAGACAAAAGUAACAUUGAGGAAUUAAAUGAUAAUUCUUUUCAUUCGUAAAUAAUAGUGUAAACAAUGUUAUUACAAUCUACAAAGUCCAAAAUUAUCAUCGACGAGUUUUCAUAUUUUGAAAAUGUUUAUGAUAGUUUCAUACUCAACGAUCAAUCCACAACUCUAAUAACUGAAAUUUGAGAAUAAUGAGUACAAAUAGUGAACUUGAUACACUAGGAAGCUUAAGGAGGUCCCAGAAAGUCCAUAUUCGGGGCCUUCAUGCAUGGACUCGAGUGUUUCUUAAUCAUCUAAUCAGAAGCCGAUUGUUUAUACCAGUCAAUCGACGUCCCAGAAAGUCCGCUCUUCUGCUUCGACGUUGCUGAACCCGCUCUACCAUGGAGACGGCUCCCUCCUCGUCUUCCUACCCAUGGCACGGGUUUAGUCCUCCUUGAUGGUCAGCUAAUGUUCACCUAAGCUUUCGCACUUAGUAAACAAGCCUUCACUAGUUGCCUGGAACAUAACUACUAUUACUAUGAUGAUUAUUACGCCGACCACCACGGCGUUUAUAAUGCUUCUGGUUCUAAUUGGGGUGUAGUAGCCUGUCAACUGUCCAGUACCGAUUCCGAUGACUUCGGAACUUGGAUUAAGCCCAUCCAAAUUCUGGAGCCAAGGUUGCCGAGUGAAUUUUGGGGGCGAUGCACACUUAUAGCUUUGCUCAUCUAGGAGGUUCAAAAGUAUGCUUUGUUCUUUCCAAUCCCAUCUCGCACCCAAAAAAAAUUUGUCUUUGGAAGGUGCGUCUUCUUGUUCAAACUUUUGAGUUUUCCUUCUCCAAACAAAGUACCACCCUCACUAGUGCUGCUUUAUUUUAUUGUUUUUUAUUUUUUGUUUUUUUUGGAAAACCUUAAUGGUAUAAGGGUAAUUUUAUUGAUAACAAAAAAAUAAGUUACACCUAGACAGAAGGGGACAUAAACCUUACCCCUCAUAAAACAGAGACAAUAAAUAGGAAUACACGAAAAAGAAGGGGGAACAUAAACCUUACCCUUCUAGAAAUAAAAAACGAGAAUGAUACAAAGAAAAGAGGGGGGGGACAUGAAACAUAAUCCCUCUAAAACCAAACCUAAAGGUCUAAACUUGCAAAACAAGUCAAACAACCCCAUAAAGUUAGGAGAAAAAAAAAAGUGAGACAAACCUGGAUGCCGACAUGCACAUUAAUUUGAGAAGCAAUAACCAGGCAAGCCAACAUAGUCUGAAAACAAAGCAGCACAAACCGCCAUCGGAGGAGAAUCAUGCCAAGUUAAAGAUGGAGAAGACAAUCCCAUGUUAGCAAAAUUGUCUGCAACAAGAUUUACUUCACGAUGUACAUGAGAUACAUAGAAAGUCAUUUUCCGAAUACGAUCUAAACAAAUAGACCAUUGCGUAUGAAGAGGCCAAGGAGGAUCAAAAUUAGACGAUUGAAGAGCAUAAAUAACACUAGAACUAUUACUUUCAAACCAAAGACAAUGCCAACCCUAUUGAUAUGCAAACUCAAUACUAAUAAUAAUUGCUAAUAACUCUGCAAAAAAAAAAAAAAAAGUUGCGAUGACCAAUGCAUUGACAGAAACCUCCAAGAAAACAACCAUGACAAUUCCUGAAAAAUCCUCCACAUGUAGCAGGAUCAGAAUUUCCUUUAGACAAACCAUCUGUAUUAAGCUUAAACCAAGGAAACCAAAGGACAGGAAGAAUAGUAGGUGCCUUGCGAGGGAUAGGUUGGAUCCCCAAAGAAGAAAUGAUCCGAGUGUCAAAACCUUGAGAAUAACCAGAAAUAAACUUCCCACCAUGAACAAUCGCCGAAUUGAUAGAAAUGCAAAAGACGAUGAAAAUAGAUUGGACGACCCUAAAAAAUAAAUUUAUUUUGAGCCUUCUAAAUAGCUGAAAUAGUAGAAAGACCCGCAAAAAUCCAUAGAUUGUGCAACUGUUUGGAAAAUGGCUUACAGACAUAGACAUCCCAAAAAACAACCAAAGAAUCUGAAAGAGGCAAAAAUGUACCAAAUUAACAUACUAACCACCUCCAAAGUUGCCUAGAUAUCUGACAUCCAAUGCUGCCGAUGAUGGUGAUGAUUAUAAUUAUAAUGAUGGAGGCUGCGAUUCAAAAAGAUCAUUCGAUUUCUCCUCUUUCAAAGCCGACAUCCUCUCCACUCGCAACUUUGAAUACGAUUGGUGCGGAGAAUCUUUUGAGACUGCUCACGCAGCCGUGCUUGGUUGCUUUGCCCUGUAAGUUUCGUCGGUAAGGUUAACUUUCCAAUUCUAUCCCAUUUUCUGUAUUUGCUUUCUCCUGCGUGCGGCCUUAACUUGUAACUGUACUACGUAGGAAAGCAUUAGUCAAUGUAUUUCCUGUGCACACACUAUCACUUGAGGAACAAGUUCGACUGCAUUGUUUGCGAUUUAAGUCAAUCUAGACCCUGCAUUGCAACUCGCAUUGGGUCUUACUGGAACUACUUACAGCGAGCAUGCAAAACCCCCUGCGUGUUGAUUGAGGUUCUGAGGGGGAACACUCCAUCAAGCACGUUGAAGAUAUGGUCUGUAGCAGCAUUGCUUGGAAAUUGGAAAUUGGAGAUCUGCCUAGCUAGCUACUAUUUCUGUGUCUAGCUCCUCAUGUAGUUUUCUGUUAGGUAAUUUUUUUUUUUUUUUAAAUGGAAGAACAGGCAUUUUAUUAAAUAAAAAAAAAUAUUUAGUCAUAUUUUUAGGCUUAUUAUAUUUAUACCCUACAUAUUGUUGAAUAAACCUUAUAUACUUAAUACACCUCAUAUUUACUUUUUCAAUUAAAAUUUAUCUUAAUACACCCCAUUUACUUUCCCAUAUUACCCUCCCACCCCCAUUCUCAACAUACACCUUACAUUUUCUAUAUACACCCCAAAUUUUUUAUAACUCAGUCACAAUCAAGAUUGGAGGAAGAUAAGGCUGCUGAGACUUUGUUGAAGGUGGCAGACGAGGUUAUACGCUGAGGUUUAAUGACAAAAAUUCGAGGGUAAAAGCAGCAAGGGAAAGGAGAACAAUUAGAGGGUCUCUUGUAAUGUGAAUGGCACUAGGACUUUGCCCAGAUUGGCAAAAACGUAGCUGAAUGUUGAUGUAGUUUUAUUGCAUUUUCAGAUGUAUGAAAAAAAAAAACAUAUUUAUUUAUUGGUGUUGAAUUGCAGAACAAAGAUUGUGUUUAGCCAUUUUAUUACUAUUAUCAUUUCUUUAAAUUGGGGUUAUGCCGUGAGAUGAUAUACAUAAGGAAAUAUUGUUAAUUUCUUCGCACUCCAUUCAAGUUCUAACCUUGUAGUUUCAUCAUUUUGCUUGCCUUUGCUGGGAAGACAAAAAAAAUAGAUAAAUAAUACGUUAAAAGUGAUUUGAGGUUUAUUCAGAAUUUUUUUAUAUUUUUAAAAAACUAAUAAGGUCAAAAUUGACAUUGUAUAGAGUGUAUAAGUUAUUUAAUAUCGAAUUUGAAUGUGAGGUGUAUUUAUCAGUACGGAUGUGUACAUCUUUUAUUGGCACGGAAGUACUUAUCGAUUAUGCAUUGAAUUUUUUAGUAAUUUAAUUCAAAAUGUGAAGUAGCUUUUGUAAAGUUACCGAAAGCGCCGUGACGGAGAUGAAGAUGGAAAUGGUGUAAAACUUUUGACGAGUUGAACCGAAAGCGCCGUGACGGAGAUGGAGGUGGAGAUGGAGAUGAGGGCCGGGGAAGAAAUAGAGAUAGGACAAGACAUAACGCCACCGCUCCCUCCGCUUUCUUCCUCUCUCCACCACUCCCUCCUCUCAUCUCACUGCUCUUCCUGCUUCUCCCCUCUCCCUCCCCAACCCUUCCCUCCCCUCUUUACUCCUACCUUUCCCAACACUCCCUCCUCCUACUACUGCUCCUCCCUCUGCUCCUCCGCCGAUUCUCCCCUCCACGUCUCCAGCGCCGAGCCCUACCUUCUCCUGCUUCUCCAAUCCCACCCCUCCGCCUACCCCAACGGCGACUCCUCCGACCUCCGCGCCGCCCUCCGCCUCCUCCAAUCCCUUCCCGCCACCUCCCCCUACCCUCGCGUAGCCGGCCUCCUGACGAAUCGCCACAAACUCCUCCACCACCACGACCAUAGGGUUCGCGACGGCGCCAGAGCCAUGUUCCUCGCCAGGAAGAUGCGGGAUGAAUCUCCGAAUUUCUCUAUCGAUGCGACUAUUGCCAACGUUGCUCCGCACGACGCCGUAUUGGAGGAGGCCGUGCUGUCAUUGGUGCUAACGAACGCCGUGGAGGUGCAGGAUAAGACCGGGCGCACCCUUGGAAUUUCCGUCUACGGUCCCAGCUUCUGCUGGAUCAACCACAGCUGCUCCCCGAAUGCUUGCUACCGCUUUUCUUUGAUGACACCGCCAACGCCACCUUGUUGGCCCGAAACGGCGCUGCUGCGCAUUGUCCCCUUCGGCCGCUCCUCCGGUCGUGCCACACAAGUAAUCCCUGCAAAUUUGCACCGUUUGUUUAAUUUAUAGUGGAAUAAGAUUGAAAUUCAGGGUUGUGAGAUGGAUAUUUGUUGCAGAUUGAGAAUGGUGUUUGUAGCAAUAAUGUGUUAGCAAAAGGUGUUGUGGUUUUUUUAAGUUUUCGUGCUUCUUUUCGGUUUUUGUUUGUUUGAAUUAGUACACCAAAUUUACCAGUAUUAUUGAACCAUUCGUGUAUAUUACGAAUGUAGAAAGCCGAGGUUAUGGUCCAAGAGUGACGGUUAGGAGCAUCAAGAGAAUCAAGAAAGGCGAAGAAGUGACUGUUACUUACACUGAUUUGUUGCAGCCUAAGGUAUCUGCAUUUUAUCUAUAUACACAUUAUACAUGGAUCAGCGAUUGGAAUUUUGAAUUCAUAUAAUCCACAUCUGUUUUGUCAAGUUAACUGAGCGAUGUUUCGAUGACUGUGAGAUGAGAAUUUGCUAGUGUCAUUUUCUGCUUAUUGUCCCUGUCUUAGGAAACUAAACUUGAUGAGACAAUGCAAGGCAAUCCGACUUCUUUCCACUUUAGGGAUUAGCUAAAUCUUGCCCCAUUUGACUUUUCUUUUACUUAUUUCCAAUUUUAAUUGUGUUGAUGUUAUAUUUUAAUCCCUUUCUUUUAACGUCACAUUUUCUUUUCUUCUCAUGAGCUCCUCCAGGCAAUGAGGCAGUCAGAGCUAUGGUCAAGGUAUCGGUUUAUCUGCUCUUGUACGCGAUGUAGUGCAUCACCCCUAACCUACGUGGAUCAAGCUUUGGAGGUGGCAAUUCAUGAAAACUUUUUCUUUCUUUCUUGAUAUUCUCAAUUAAAUACUAAUUCUUAAGUCUAUUUGGAGUUCUUCCGUAAUAUCUUUAUACUAUUGAUUUUACAGAAAUUAUAAAUGCACUAGGAUAUUUGUACUUCUAGAUUCUUGUUUUUGUAUCCCCCCCUGUAUAUAGUUUGGCCUUCACUUUGAACAAAAGCUCUUUUUCAACUUGAACAUGAAUUACCUCCUAACCAUUUUUCUUCCUCUCUGGCAGUCAACUUUAUUUCCUAGGAUGUAGCUAAUGUUCUUAUUGGUGUUUUUUGAAUAAUCAUUAACCUUCGGUUUCAAAACUCCAGGAAAUAUUUGCAGUCAAUUCCAACUCCUCCAGUUUGAGUUUAGAAAUAAACUUCAAUAGAGAUAAGGCAACGCAAUUGUUGAGUGUUUACUUUGAUGAUGCUAUUGACGACUACCUGUCGAGUGGCGAUCCUGAAUCUUCUUGUGAGAGGCUUGAGCAUGCGUUCACACAAGGACUCUCUGAUAUGCAAUUAGAUUGCAACGGAGAAACAUCUCAGCUGAGAUACUGGUUGCACCCAUUAAAUUACCUCUCCCUAAAUGCCUACACAACAUUGGCUUCAGCGUAUAAAAUCCGUGCAACUGACAUGAUAGCUUUAUGUUCUAAAAUGGAUGAUCAUCUGUUAAAAGCUUUGAACUUAAGCAGGACUAGUGCAGCAUACUCCUUACUACUUGCUGGUGCAACUCACCAUCUGUUCCGCUCUGAAUCGUCUCUAAUUGUAUCUGUUGCAAAUUUCUGGACAAGCGCAGGGGAGUCAUUGUUAACUCUUGCUAAAAGCUCAGUCUGGAGUGAGUUUGUCCACCGGGAUCUGCCUGUGUCAAAUCCAUGUUCCACUGCAAGUUAUAGAUGUCCAAAAUGCUCAUUGAUAGACAAAUUUGAAGCUUGUUUAUUCUAUGGUCAAGUUCAACAUGCAGAUUUUGACGAUGUCUCAAGUGAAUUCAUUGAUUGCGUCUCUAACUUUACACAGAAUGUUUGGAAUAUUUUGGCUCUCAGUUGCCAGUACCUUAGAUUGAUUAAGAGUCCUAUUGAUUUCAGUUGGCUUGGUACCACAAAAGAUUCCAGUGUAGGGGAAGUUCUGAUUCGGUCUAGUGGCACUAAAGCGGGUUCUUGUGGGACUGAGAGAAGCAUUUCUGGAAGUGAAGCAGAGGGAUACACAGCCCAGGUACGGAUAUGUAUUUUUAAGCUCGGUGUCCAUUGCUUACUAUAUGGAGGAUAUCUAGCGAGCAUAUGUUAUGGUAAUUCCCAUUUGACCUGUUAUGUUCGUAAUAUUUUAGAUAUGGAAGGGAUAUUAUUGAAUCCUUGUCAUGAACCAAAUUGAGUUUGAGAUCUUAGAAGUUAAAUUAUUCCUGUUUUGGUGUUAAUUGCUGUGUUAUUAUACUCGUUAAGAAUCUGUUAAAAAUGUUGGUUGCAUAUAUCGUCUUCUCUGCUUGUGAUUUUUCGCCUCGAACUCUAUUCGUCUUGCAUGAUGCCCCAAGGAAUCAGCCACACGUAUCAGAAGUUUGUGUCAACGGAUUCAAUUUGAUAGACUACAGUGGGUUUCAAAAUAGAAUAAUCCGCUAUAGCUGUUUCAUAUAUCAUUUCGGUUCAGUCAAAUUAAAGAACCAAAAUUGAAAUCACAAUUGGAUUCGAUUUGGAAACAUCUGAAAUACAAAAUUGAAACCACAAUCGAAUUAAAGAACAAAAAUUGUCAUCUCCUGAUGCAUCCCUGUUUCUAUUUGUGUUCGUGUUUGUGUCAAAAAUACAUCGUAAGAAUGUUAUAACAGUUGCAUACUUAAAGCGACGCCCUACUGAAUGUUACAAUAGAUGCAUACAAGACCGUCGCUAAUGUCAAUGUUUCUUCUUUUUGUUGGACUUUGAGUUGGAGCCAUGCUCAUUUUUAUGUCGCUUUUCCCCACUCUUGUGACUCUCUCUCUGUUUUCCUUUAUCCAUUUUGUUUCUACUUGAUUUCACGCUAACGAGACCACCAGCAGGUAGGUUUGCACCGCCAUUCUGUAAUGCAUUCUCAAAGUCUGCAUCUCUGUCCCCAAUCGCGUACUGUUGAAGCAACUUGGGAUCUAAUGACCCCUCCGAGUUGGAUCUCAUCCCAUCCUGUAUGUGCGUAGUCAAGUCAGCCCAACUCUUGGGAUUCAGAACGCGGGAAAGAGAGGCAGUUCAGGUAACACGAAGGUAAGGAAGGAAUAAAGCGUACCUCAACUUUUCUUGCAGCAUCAUUGAGAUCAUCAUCAACAGAGAUCUUGUGAGGUUCCAAGAGAGUCUGAACCAAAAUUUCCGAAUCAGAGUGGAGUUACAACAUAGGCAGAAGAAAAGCACAGUAGCAUACAUACACGCACGCACGCACAAUUAUAAUGUGAUAGACGAUGUUUAAGCUUGCAUUAAGAAACACAAUAAUGUAAACUUAGCGAUUACAUAUCAAACAAAAUAGUUCAGGUACCAAAGUGGCUCACGCGCAACACACAUGUCAAUAUCAUAUAGUUAAGCCAACUAGAAUCAUAAUGCAUCCUACGACAUGAAAUUAUUAGAAAGAGAUGGAAACCACCAACAUAUCAUGUACUUUCCAUAAGAAAAAAAAGGGUUACUGCUUUGCUGAACUUACUUCUUUUGGUUUAGGCAAGGUUGACACAAGGCCCUCAGAUGCAAUAGCGUAUAGAUAUUUGUGAAACUUUUUCAUAACUUUUAUAAACAGAGACAAUAUUUGCUGCCUUUCCAGUUUCAUCAACCCCUGGAAAACGUGAAUGUAAGUAAAAAUCUACACCUGAUAAGAAUGAAAUAAAGAGCAGAAAUGACGCCACCAAGUAGAGUGUUUUGUCUUUGCAAGUGGGUUUGAUUGCGUGCUCGCAUUGCAUCUAUGUGACUGGUAUAGCCAAGCAAACCAUAUGAGUAACAAGUAGAGAAACAAACCUCAAUAUAGGAGAUAUCUUGAUUCUGUAAGCCAAUGCAGAGCAAUAUGGAAGCCUGGGCACCUGUCAAUGUCACUGGAAGUUUCUCUUGGAAAUACAGAUGUGAAAGCGUUGGAACAAGAUCCAAAAUCUGUAAAAUAAAAGCAUAACUUUAACAUGUGUAAAGUUAUAAACAAACGAUAACUAGAGUACAAGAGGACCUCAGUUUAGAAAAUGACACUUAAUUUCAAAUUCAAAUGGACCCCAGGGUUUAAACUGUAAUUUUAAAAACAAUUCGCAGGUAAUUUGAAGAAAGUAAGGUCUGUUGGUUAAGGAUGAAAAUGCAAUAAGCCCUCGGAUCCCUCCUCCCCACUAUCAUCUAUGCCUAACAGGAGGAAGAACAUCUUGACACAUUCAAACUGGCAGCCUUUCCCAAAAAACAGAAGGAAGCAGAUAAUCCACUCAAACCAUAAUCAACAAAAAUGGACGACAUGCCAUUGACCAGGAUGCACUGCACCUUCCUGAGAACCGCACAACAAAUGGGUUCACCUCCCUCAGGGGCAUACCCACAAGGGGGUGGGAUUGGGUGGGAGGGGAAGAGAAGGGGUCUAAUAGCCUAAUCGCUGUUGAUUUCAUCUUUUUAUGUAACACAGAGCACGGGAUGAAACAUCGGCCACAGAAUCCUACACACAAAUUACUUGUAAAGUACACAAAUUCCCCUUCUCAAACAAGCAAUUUUGAACUUUUAAUGUGUAACUGAACAUAUAUAUACAUAUAAUUAGAUCAAUAACUAAACACAAUGUCCUAAUAGUUCACUUUUGAAAAAGAUUAUUCAUAAAACAUUGCAAGAGUAAUAUAUGUUCACAAUCAUGGUAUCAGAUUGUCCACAGUAAGAAAACAAAUAUUUCACCACUGUCAACUAAAAAUUGUAUCACAAUCACAAUCAUAUUGCCACACUGAGACGAUAAUUCUAUCACAAAGGAAUACAAUUUUUCUUUUGUAAUGCAAUAUUACUUUCUUUUUCUAAAGGAAAGCAUAUUUUGUCUUGUAACGCAAAUAUCUUUUUUGAUUCUAAGGGAAGUAUUUCUUGUUCUGUAAUGCAAACAUUACUUCUAUUUUUAAUAUGAAUGUAUGGAAUCAAUUAGUAAUCCUAAGAUAAAAAAAUCCCAAAACACUACAUAGCACUAUGACAGGGCAAGUUGGCAAUCAACCAUUGUUCAGAGAACUUACCAUAUGAAAGUCAGCAAGACUGCUGGUGUAGGCCUCCAGUCGCUUCAUAUCAUAAGGCGAAAGUAAGUCUGUGAUAGACCGUAAGAAUCCAUCUGUGGUAGACGAUUUGGGUUCUCCAUCCUUGUAAUUGAUCUUAGGAUCUAAGAUGCUGGAAAAUUAUUAGUUAGUACGAGCACUUGAACAAUAAGCAUUUAUCAGAAUGGAACUUUUAAUAGUACCUCAUAGCGAGCCUAUAAUCCAUUGUACGAAAACUAUAACCCAAUAGUCUCAAAAAUCUUCUCCUGAAAUCUAGGUAGCCAACAAAUAAUCAAGCUGUGAACUGAAAUACAAAAAAUCUGCACAAAUUUAAAUAGAACAAAGGUUUUCCAAAGAAAAAUGGGCCCACCUAGGUUGAAUGGACGAAAAUCACUGGUUUCAAGUUCAUCAUUCUUCAAAGAUUUGAGGACCAUACACGUAUGCUCCCCGGUCACACCACUCUAUUACAUUGAAAAGAAAAAUGAAAAAUUAUUGUUUAAUCAGUCAUUCAUUCACAAAUGAUAAUAUUCAAAAAAACAGUAAACGGAAAAAAGGAUUCAGUAUGGAGAGGGGAAUCCAUCUUAACUGGAAUAUGUCCAAUAUAGAAUGGAGCAAACUUAUGUUUCCACCAAAACCUGAAAAGGUCCAAGGUAAGCCCAAAGGAGACACCAAUAUAAUGGAGCUUCUCUGGUCGCCUUUCACGAAGAUGAACAAGCAAAUGAGGAAGAUCUGUUCUAGGUUUUAUACUUUCUUCCAGCAAUGAAACCUAUAAAUAAAAUAGACAUAGGUAUCAUUCCGAUAAACAAUAUCAAGGCACAGGCGGCAGGUUGAUUAAUACCAAACAAACAAACCAAUACAUGAUAAUAUACUUUGAUGUCAUUAUGAUUAAAAUUAACACAACAAAUGAUCAUUCACAAAAGUUUGUCAAAUUAUAUUCAAACACAGAAAUUGUUCUACAAUCACCGGAAUGAAGCUUAACCAACUCAAACACUUCGACAGAACAAGAAUUGCAUUACCAGAAACCUAUGAGUUACAAAAUUGCCUCCAAUUGCAAUAAUAAUACAUAGAAUAGUCUCGUAUAAGCAGUUCUCCAACCUAUUAAUUAAAAAUAUUUAUAAAAAAAAAAAAACUAAGCUUGGUGAUUGUAGUUCACCUUCUCAGCAGCUUCUGUGACUCUGAGUGGGGGAGUCUCAACAUCUUCAACGUCCAGUUCAGAAAUAGGAGCAAACUGUCCUUCGUAGUACCUGAGGAGAAAUAAACCCUUAACACCCAUUUUUUCAAAUAUAAAAACAUAAAUGUGAAGCAUCAACUUUUAGAACCAAAGAGAUUCAGUGCAAUUUUCAUGUCAAAACACUUUUAUCUCAAUAAUGAAGUACUUAUGAGUUACAUUGAUACAAGAGCAAUGCAUCCCACAUAUCACACACAUUCCUUAUAUCUGGAUCCCCAACAAUAGCAAUCCAAUGUCACCCACAUAGCACAUGAUACAUACCAGAGGUGUCCCUAGAAUGUCCACAUCAGCCAUUCCUUAUAUCUGUGUCCCCAAAAACAUUUGCAGUAAAAAGUACAUGGACUUAUGAGCACAAAGGGAUAACGGACAUGUAUGGGUUGACUUGAGAGAUAAACCAAGUAAAGUAAGUUCAAGAAAAAAUCUAGGACCAAAUAGGAUACAAGGUCAGAAUCAGUGUGACCCAUCUAAAAAGUUAGGACCCCACAUUAAUUUGUGCAGUCAACAACGAGGAUCCAUCUUUGGAUUAUUAUCCUAAAACGCUCUAUCUUUGGAUUAUAUCCUAAAGUGCUGCUGGUUAAGCUUGUUUCUGGUUUUUCUCUGUUGGAAAUUUCAAUUACUAACGAAAUAUCCAAUCUUCAUUUAAACAUACAGAUUUAAACUCAACUGUUGGCACUGCAGACUCUUGGCCAUUGUUGGGAUUGAAAUAAGCUAGAGUUUCUCAAGAUAAAUGCGGAUGAGGUGGGUUUUAUUUGAGAUAGCGAAUUCCAUGUGUUUGUGGAUUUAUUGCCAAAGCAAUUUGGGAAGAUCCCUGCUGUUUCCUCCAGAUGGAUGGGGUUAUAAUUUCAUUGUAACUUUUCUGAAGUAAGUUUUAGUUGGACUCCUUUUCUUUGCAAUGGACAACUUCUCCUCCUUUCCUUUAGAAAAUGCUUUGCUUUGCUGAAUUUUUCGUAACUCUUAGAAAUGUAACCCAAACUAAGAUGAAAACCCCCAACAUGACCGUAUUUUAAUAUGCUAUCACUUCUAAUCCUCUAUAUCUUUCCACUUGUUUCUCCAACUACCAUCAUAUGACUCGAGAGUUGUAUUGUGAGAAAGUCAUCUGUAUAUCAAAACUGAAAUCAAAUGAUCAUCUCUUCAGCACCCACAUGGUCUAUGUUCUAUAGCUUUCAACCCAAGUGAACUGAAAGCAUGAGACUCACAUUUUGAGUUGCGACUUUAUGUGCCUGAGCCAGGGUGCAUAUGCAUGAUUGCUUUUCAUUCAUUUUAGAAAUCAUUUGAAGCAUUGCUUCAGACAUAUAAUCUUCAAUCUUUUCACCUUUUUUUUUAUGACAAACAGUAGCGUUAGUGGGUUAAAAGUUUAUUUGUUAGGGGGAGGGGAAUCGAUGGGCAUCAAACCCGCACCAGGGUGCAUAUGCAUGAUUGCUUUUCAUUCAAAGUGUAGCAAUAUGGGGCUAAAAGAAUCACUCAGUCAAUCUUUCUCAACACCUUAGGCAUCCACAUACACAUUGGGAUCAUGUAUGUGAUCUACAAAAACGUUUAGGUGGGGAAUAACUCAAAGAGGAGCAUACCUUGUCAAUAGUUCCACUGCUUGUGAUCCAUAUCCAAUCUACAACAACGAAAAAUAAAUUACCAUUUCAACAGAUCCCUGGUUAUAGAUUACCAUUUCAACAAAAUCCUGGUUAUACAUAUUGCUUUGGAAACCAUAAUGAGAGAAUACCUUCAUGGCACUUGGAUGUGUAGCAAUUCGUACAAUCCGAGCACCUGAAAGACUGGGAAAAACUGUGUCCUGAAAUUGCUCACAGAAUUUCCAUGGUAUCUGGUCACCAGAAGGCUGAUGACCAUCACUUAAACUUUUCAUUGCAGAUUCACGAGAGAUCUUUCCCUCAAGGCAGACCUAAGAACAAAAUGAUAGCACAUAAAAUGUUGAGCAUCAAAGAAUUAGUGUUUUAUAGAAGAUGAAGUACGUGUUUAAAGUGUUGUCCUUUAUUGCUAUUUCACAUAAGGUAAAAUUAUAAAUAAAAAAACUAAUAAAAUUUUGGGUAUGCGUUAAAUAACUAAAAGAAAUAAUAGUCCUGAACUAGGGGAAGACAGUCAAACCUGAAUGACACACAAAAUAUCAGGAAGCUGAUUUUUUGACUCAUCAACAGGGCCUGCACGUGCAAAUUAUAAUCAAGUCCAGCCAAAUAGCGGCAAAAAAAGAAAGACCAGUUCUAACGUAACAUAUAUACCAAGUAGCACAAACAGGUGGUGAGCCGGGGCAUCAGCCAUUAGUUGCAAAUCAUUUGGAGAAUUUUUGUAGUGGGAGGCAACAUAUAGAGCCAUCAUCCGCUGCAAGUAUUAGAAUAUGUAAGUUCACUAAUAUGAAAAUGAGAAUCACUAGUCUGACAUUACUUGAACAUGUAAUUACCUGUAAGAACAACUCGCUAUCUUUAUGAUAUGAAAAAAGCGUAUCACAGUUUACGUAGUACAGAUCGCACUCACUGGGUGCAGGUAACCUAGCCGCCAAGAGAGAGAGAAGAGAGAGAGAGAUCAUUAAUAAAGGUAAGGGUUAUAAUGGAGAUGGUUACAUCUUCCUCGGUUCUGACUGUCUAAGCAAAUGUUUUUACCCGUUAAGUUUAGGGAUAUAAUUUGUGAUAUCCAAGCAAAGUAAACCAUGAAGCCAGGAUUCAAUCGGAUCACCAGAAGCAUAUCUGAUAGAUUCUUUCAAUUCUAUCUUUUUGAAAAGACGACCUACAAUCAGGGACAUUUAUCAAUUCAGAAAAUUAUGUCCAAAUAUCACAAAAUAGUUUUUAAAAAAUUAUACAUUGCUCACUUGCAAGCGCCAACAGUUCAAGUAUUUCAGAAACAAUAAUGUUAAGAGAAAGCAGAAGAAACAUUGAAUUUUGAAAAUAAAUUCAAGUUUUGGGGGGAAAGGGGGAUUUUGAUCCAACCUAAUUCAAGAUGAGAAUACAAAACACGGCCAAUAAGGAAUAAGCAUACCAGAUGUAGGCCCCUUAGCAGACACUUGGCUUUGCUCUUCCAAUUGCUGUAGAAGUUUUAGGGACAAAGACCGACCAGUACCUUCAUAGCUUUCAGUGUAAAAUAAAUGUCCUUUAGUAUUUAAAUUGCACUUAGAUUUUUUUUUUUUUACCAAAAGUUGAAUUCAGAGUUGACUUAUAAAUAGAAAGACAUCAAGCAUGAGUCAAGGAAAAGUGGAAACAGCCCAUGAAAAGUGAAAGAUCUUUCAUUCCCCCCCGCGGCCGUAACAGAAAGUGAAAAAGUGAAGUGAAAUAUGUUUCAUGAGACUGUUAAAACCAAAAAAGAACACAUGAUAAGAAUACACGACAUGAAGGAAGAAGAACAUGGAUGAAUCUUACCCAUUAACAGUAGAUGAAAGGAAGACCAGAUAAGGACCAAGCAAAGACUUCACUACUGGUAGUGGAAUAGCAGCUGCUUCAUCAACAACCAACAGUUCAACUUGGGAAAGCUUUUCAUGCUCAUGUGGCCGUAUAUACUGCAAGUACAAGUAACAAAAGUAAAAAACAAAUAGCCCCAAAAGCAAUGAGCAGUACAAAGUUCUUUCUUUUAGGCUACAUGAGGUGUAAAGGUCUAGACCACCUCACAAUCUCACAGGCAUGUUGAGUGCCUCUAUACCAUACAUACUGGAUUAGUGCCAGGAAGACACAUUAGGUUGACCAAAAAGUUUGGCGUUUCAGGAACAUGCUUUUAGAAGCAAGCUUCAGUAAUCACAAACCAUCUAAAUUAUGUUCAAUAUGCUCACACCAAUAACAAAAAUGAUGCACUUGGGCAAAAGUACAAUAGAAUUUUUGGAGUAGUCAAACAAAGACAACCACUAAUCAUAUAUGAGGGCAUACGACAUUUGAUGGGCAAAAGGUGAACACACUCAUGGCUAUUGUGAUGCGGCUAUCCAAUAGAAGAAUAUUCUCUAUUACAACUUGGUUAUCAACUUUUCAUGAGUAACAAUUCCUCCAUGUAUUUGUAUUUUGGUAUCAACUGACUAAACAAAAUCUUUAUUGCUAUUUUUUUAUAGAAAACGAGAUUUUAUUAAACAGCUAAAAAACAAUACAACACUUAGUGGACUAGGAAGUCCACCAUCAAAACGAAACAGCCCUGACAUAUGCCUCAACAUUCACCUCCAUCAUUAUAAAACAGAUCUGCAACUAUCUCACUGCAACUCCCCAAUCCAACAAAAUUACAUAAAAUGAAAGAUCCCAAAACCUUGGAGAGAGAGAAGCCAUAAGAAUGCCCAAUUCUUUCCCAAGAAUUCUCUUGUAAAUCCCCACUCUAAUUUUCAAAGGUUGCAAACUUGAAAUUAACAUAGAAGGUAACUGGCUUCAGAGUCAACUAGGAUAAUACUGGGCAUAUAUGCAGAGAGUAGGCAUAGUAGCAACUUUCAGGGUAUGGAAUAAUACAAAAGGAAAGGGAAGACCACAGAAUUCUCUCAGUCAUCUUAACUUGAUUUGGUACUAAGAAUAAGUUAUGUAUACACUUCCCACUGGCCCAUCUGUACGUUAAUAUAGAAAUAGAUUAUAUCCUGGCAACAAGGAAGUGAAAUACUCCUAUUUUUAUAUCAAUAUUGGGCACAAAUUAAGAGUUCAUCAAUAUAAUUUUACCUCAAUUGUAACCAACUGUGCAUAUAAGUUUACCUGAAUUGUUUGUCUGUGCUGCUUGUAUAUAUUGAUCUGUACAGUUGCUUUCUUCAACAAAGGGUCACUACUUUUCUGUACAUCAUAAUCUAUAUGUUCCUGCAAACAUAGUUUACAACUGUAAGCUCAAUAACUAGUGCACUGUUCGAAGUACAUGAUUGAAAAAUGAAGAAAACGGAGUGACCUUAUAACAAUUAAUGAAAGAUAAAAUGUAGUUCACAGAAUAAAACAUUCAAACACCACCAUCUUGAUAGUUAAACAAUUUCACUGUAAAAGCUAUUAAACUUAGCAGGAAAAAAAAUUUAAACUUUAUCUAACAUUUGAAUCUACAAUUUUCAAUUAGCAACUCUUGUCACAAAUGUUUAUUAGUGGGGUACGUUCUAAGAUAUUGUUAUUUGCUAAUUGUCGAGGAUUAUUUGGGAGUUAAAUCUCACAAGAAGGCGUAAAGAUCACAUUAGAAUUAGAUAUUUUACUAGGAAGCUAAAGAUCACAUUAGAACCACCCGCAGGAAUACAAAAAAACGACAUACCUUAUAGUCCAGUUGAUCAAAACCCUUGCAAACAAAUUCGAACAAGGUUCUUAAGUUCUCAGGGCUGGGUGCAGUUACAAAUAUAUUUGAAUACCUGUGAAGAUAUAUUUGUAUCGUCAAAACAUAGUACAUGAAUAUGAGUGUAGACAGCUACACAUACACCAAAACAGUUUUAAUACAUUGUAAAAGGCAUACUACCCUGCAGCAAUAGCUCCGGAAAUUGCCAAACCAAGUGCAGCCGAUUUUCCACGGCCUCGAGCAGCAAGCAAGGCAACAGUACUUCGGAGUGUCUUGUCCAAGAUUGCAUCAAGAAAUGUAGCAACAGCAUUUCCCUGUUGAAACAUUUACCAACUCAAACUAUGAGUCAUAUUAGUAAAUCACACAUGAUAGAAAAACUCAAAACUAAUACAAAUCAGAGAGAGUGCCUACCUGGUCCAACGUACAACAUUUCUUUAUUAAAGGGCCAACAGGAAAGGCAUCACUCAGCUGCUCUUUUAGAUCCUUCAGUUCCCUUUGUGACUCUGAUAUCCCUUCAGAGUCCUUCAAUCAUGAUCAGAAAACAAGAAAAAAGUUAUCAAAGUUAUCAAAGCUUCACAAACUCCUAGAAAGUAUCCUAAUAACCAUUCGGUAUACACACACUUGAAAAAUUACUUUUAUUCUUUUUGUCAUCUCGCAUAAGAUGCCACGAAAAUAAAGCAUUCCUCGAUUUAUCAGUUCCGUCCUAUAGAAAAGUUACAAGGCUAAAAGGUUACCUCUUUCACUGGAACUGGGGUAAUUGACCUCAUAUGAGAUGAAAUUGGUAAAAUAUUCAGCUCAUCAUCCAUUACUACACAUGAUUUGCAUGACGCAAGUGACAAUAAGAAACGCUCGUUAAAACGUCCAGUAGCCUUAGAAUGGGAUUCAGUUCGAAACCUAUCAUGAACAUCCUGAAAUCAAGAGGCGCUGAUAAGACUGUAUGGAGAUUUUUGCAUUUGAGAGAACGAGAAAGACAGUGUUGCAAAUAAAACAUGACAUAACGGAAUUGUUAUCAAAUAUAAUAUGUGGUGCAUGGCUAUUGCUAUAUUCGUUCUAAGUCCAUAAUGUAGUAAAACUAGAAACUACCUCAACAAGAAGAACAAAUAUUAUGAGGAAACCUAGUUGUUUUUUCUUCUUCUUUUUGGGGCUAGAACAUGAAAAGAAACAACUAGUCUACAUAGGCCCAACUGGGAAACUUAUAUGUUCAGCAGCAUUCUCUUAAAGAAAGUCAAGCAAUUGAAUCUACCAAAAGUCUUCUUGUAGCCAAGCACAUCAUUACGAAAAAAUUCGGAAACUUUUAACAUGGCUAGUUUUCAAGAUUUUGCGGUAUAUAAUAAGCAUAACCAUGCUGGCCUAAAAACUAAGCAUUAAUUGUGUGCAUGCGUAAGAGAAAGAGGUAUUAUUAUAUGCAUACCAUAACCAUGGUGUAGAGGUUGGUGAGUGAGGUUAGAGAAUGAAGCAACAAUAUGACUAGUCCACCUCCCUCCACUGUCUCUAUCGUUCUUGCUAGUAGAUUUGGAGUCAAGGCCUCAAAAUCCUAAUGCAGGAGAUCAAACUUAGUCAUAAAACUUAAAUCAAUUAUACAAGGGGUCUUGGCCAAACCAGUAAAUUUGUAAGUUUCAAGUUACCUGAAGUAUACACAUUCCAAAGGUAUUACCAAGAACUCUUUCUGAAUCCUUGUACAAGCAAUAAGUCAAUCCCCCACUUUCAACAAAAAGUGAGAAAGGAUCAACCUUCUCGGGAUCAAGCAGCCCCCUCUGCAUCAUCUUUUUUACUUGCUUAGCACGUUUUUUCUUGUGACUGCAUCAUGAAGUAGUCAAACGCAACGAAUCAAUAUAUUUUAAAAACGAAAUUCCGCCUUGCCUUAUAAUAAGGUGAAGAAUGGAAGGUAGAAGAAAUCAACCUGCUGAGCUCGAGCUUGUCCUUGUAGCACCACAACACAGUCGGGCGCGAUUUCUUUACUUCAUUGCUUAGCAUAUAAUGAAGAUUCACAAUCUGAAGACCAUAUAAAACUCCAUAUUAGCCAUUUUCCGUUAGUUUUCGAUAGAUUUUCGAUGAUAUUUCUUACCUUGUUUGAGGUUUUUAGUGUUACUCGGUGAGUAUUGCAGGUGAAAACAAGAAACAGUAAAACUGGUAAAAUUUUCUACCCAAUUCAAUUUAAAUCAUUGUUAUAACUCCUCAAAUUGAAUAGGAAUAGCAAAUAGGGAAUGGGAUAGGAAAGGCAGAAGAAAUUAGGAGUACCUGGUCACGGGAUUUGUCGCCGACGAUGACGAACAUGGAGCGGUGCCGGUUUUUGACGCCAUUGCUUAUUAGGGUUCGGAUUCGUUCGUCCACCUUCUUCCUCAUUCUCUCUCUCUCUUCUCUCUCUGUGCAAUUAGGUUUAGGGUUUAUACCAUAGGGCAGUUGUCGUCGUCGGGCAGGGUUUAAGCCGAACUAGUGAGAGAGAGACUAGACAUCGCGGAGAGAUAUUGAGUUCAUCUCAACCGUUGAUUGGCUAUCUGAUGGCUGUUAUCAAAGCUGACAUAAAAAUGAAAACUCAACACGUGGCCAAGUAUUUUUUUUCUCUCUUUUUUGGCUUAUUUAUUGAUUUGCCCCAGAAAUUAUUUUUUUUGUCUUACUCUAGGUCAUGAAACAGAAUUUAUCUUACUUUAUCUUCUAAAACUACCAAAAUCGAGUCAUUUCACCCAUGUUUUGUCAAUUCUAUCUCAUAAACGUUAAAUAAAAGGGAGUCUAAACAUUUCAUACCAUGCUAGCAAAGAUGAGCCACUGUUGUUGGUGAGGUACGAAAUUUUCAAACUUUCCUAAACCUUUAAAACUUAAAAGGUAUCUUGAAUAUGAACGUAAAUGAGGUAAAGUUGCUCAAUUUUGGCAAUUUAUGAAGGGUAAAAUGAGACAAAUUCAAUUUAAGGCUAAAGUGAGAGUAAAUGGCAGUUUCAUGAGAUAUAUCAAUAAAUAAAUCUUUUCUAGAAUACAACUAAAUUAUGUACUCACGGUAAAAGAUAAAUUAAUAUCGAACUUGUCAUUGACGAUAUCUAAACAUAAAACCUUUCAAGUUUUUACCUAUAAGAAUAAAUUUGGUAUAGUAAUUUCUUUUCUAAUUUAAAGUUUCCCAUAGAGUUAUGACGAAUUUGAUACCAAAUUAGGCUGUCAUUGUGUGGCAUAGCCGAAUUCCUCCUCCCUUACUUUAAAAAUAACGAUGUACUCAAAAAAAGUUUCCCAUAGAGUUAAAAUGAUCUUUAGUUGCUUGCUGAGACAACCCAUAUGUAUAAUAAGACAUUGAAAAAGGUGCCUCUGUCAUUUACACUCACACGAUCGAAUAAGUAGCUCCGACAGUUGCAUCAUAAAAUUAAGGGGUUUUCCGAGAUUGUAGUAAGGUUGACGAUUAAAGUUUGGGAAAUUUUCAGGUUAAGGAAUCAAGGGAUCACAUUUUCAAGUUUCGUAGGCAUUCUCUUUCCUUUGGAAUGGUGUUGGAAUCCGUCCUGAAGUUGCCCAUUCCUUUGCUCUUGAUUUUCAGAGUUGGAUAGCUAUAAACCUUAGGACACAUUGUACCACCAUACAUGGUUUACCUUGGAACCUUAUCUUUAAUUCAACUCUCUGGCAUUGCUGGAAAUGGAGGAAUAACUUUGUCUUCAAUGAUGGCCAACAACCGCUUGACUCACCCCAGAAUUUCAUUUUUCAAUUUGCAAGGGAAUGGUGUGAUGCGAACAAGUGUUCUUCUAGUAAGCCUCCUAGACAAAAUCAUCUCAAUCCAUUGGAUUCGUUUGCCAAUUGGUAUACAAAAUCAAUACAGAUGGGAGUUGUAAAGACCCAUUUAGCCACAUAAGUGCUGGAGGUUUGCUUCGUAAUUCUGAAGGGAAAUGGAUUAAGGGAUUUGCUGCUAAUUUGGGCAGAGGAACCAUCAUGGAAGGUGAGCUUUAAGGGUGGUUUCAUGGGACUUUCUAUAGGUUGGGAUGAGAGUUGCAAGGAAGUGAUUAUUGAAUGUGAUUCUUAUGCUGCUGUUACUUUGAUCCAACAACCUAUUUUAGUUCCCACUCUACAAUCUCAUUAUUGACUGCAAAGAAGCCAUUGAAAGAAAUUGAAGAUGUGAAGUUACUCAUAUCUAUAGAGAAAAUAAUGUCUUAGCUAAUCACACGUCUGACUUAGGUCAUGGGUUAUCACUUGGUCUUCAUGUUUUUGCUUCUCCUUCUACCAUUGCUACUAAUUUUAUAGUUUCUAAUACUAUUGGCAGGGCCCUCCCUAGAGCUGUUUUUUAGUAGCUUUUUUGUUUUGCUUGUUGGGCUUUGCCCUCUUCUGUACCCAAAAAAAAAAAAAAAAAAAAAAAUAUUGGGAAAUUUAUUUGGACCCAACUUUUUUAUCUCUACACCCAAAUAAUAUUUUCUCUUAUCUAAUCUUCCAAAUUUGUCCUUAAAUAACAAACAUUGAAGUUUUCUUUGUAUCUCUACACCCAAACCCCACGAUCCACCACUGUAGGGCGCUCCAUUAUUUCCGACAAACCCAACUCAAACGCCAGCAACACUAAAAUCGACAAAUCAAGACUGGAGAACAAAUGGUGUAGGAGUCCUAAUGUGAAUAUUAAAGCAAACUUAAGUUGCAAAACCCUUUUUUAUUUCAAUCGAUGAAAGGACCUUGGGUUAUGAACAUAAGGAACCUAUUAGGGUUUAGAGGUCCCCUCCACAUCAUAUGCAUAAGCCCUUUUUCUUCAUUCAUUAAUUUACGGAAGGGAAAAUUAAUACUAUUAUUCUCAUAAAAAGUGGGAAUACCAAGGAAAGAGAUCCUCUCCACACCAUAUAUUUUUCUUUUCUGAGUAGUUAUAUCCAAUGGAGAGAGGAAAACAAGAGCACCAAUGGUCGCAGGUUCACCGGAGAAAAUGAAGGUGCAGUGGUGAUGUGAGUUUAGGGUUAUUGGGUGUAAAGAUAACAACUUUAAUAUUUAUUUUCUCAUUUUUAUUUAUUUAAGGGCAAAUUUGAAAGUUUAGUAGAGAAAAUUUGUUAGUUGGGUGUAGAGAUAAAAAGGUUGGGUCCAACAAAAUUUCUCAUAAAGUUUAAUCACGCGAUUAAGUUCUUGUGCAAUGAGUAAAUUGUAGCAAUGACCCAUCAACUAAAAAUCCAUUAUUAUUGAUCCCUCAACUCAUCAAAAUAUGUAGUUAUGGUCAUUUUCGUCAACUUUGUAAGAAUUUUGUCAAAAUAAAUUAUGUUGGAAGGACCAUUGUUACAAUUAAGGUCCUUCAACUCAUCAAAACAUGUAGCUAUGGUCAUUUUCGUCAACUUUGUCAAAAUGAGUUAUGUUGGCAUGACCAUUAUUGCAAUUGGGUUAAAGUUGAGGAAUCAUUGCUCCAAUUGGGUUAAAGUUGAGGGAUCAUUUCUCUAGUUAGAUUAAAGUUGGGGGACCAAUGAUAAUUAAGUUUUAGUUAAGGGAUCAUAGUUGCACGUUUUGAUGAGUUGAGAGAUCAAUGAUAAUGAAUUUUUAGUUAAUGGAUCAUUACUCCAAUUGAGUUAAAAAUAAAGGACCAUUGCUACAAUUUACUCUUGUGCAAUAGAAGAUUAAUUUGGCCGAACAACCUGAUUAAGGUGCCUACUUUCUCUUUAAUUCAUUGGUAUCAUUUAUUUUCCCUUAAGCUGAAUUAUGCUCAAUUUAUGUAUCAAUAUUGUAAAGUUGUCUUUGUUAGAGUAAUUUGGACAAUAUAAAUUGAAAAUUAUUUGUGUAUAUGGAAAAGAUUAACCUCAGGGGUCACUUCGCCGGACUCCGUAGCAAUCUCCACCACUCCAAUCGUAAUGGUGAGUAAAUCACUUGUGUUUGUUUCCAUUUUUUCAAUUGGAAAUUGGGGGUUUUGAAUUCAUAUUUUGUCAAUUGGUUUUGUGAGCACUGAGAAUACACUACGAGCUUGUGUGUGUGUACAAUAUGUUGGAUUUGAUCUUUAUAAAGAAUGCGAGAAAUUGGGGUUAGGAAAGAGAAGAAAAGGAAACAGAACUCGAACUUCGAUCUUCAUUCUUGUUACUAAAGGAGAAAACCGAAUUUGAACCGGUUCAUACGUAAUCGAACCGAAUUUGUAUAGUUCGGUUCACCCCUUAGUACCGAACCGUACCAUACCAAAAAAAAUUUCUUGAGUUUGGUUUUGAUACAUCCCUCAUACUGUACCAUACCAAAUCGUGGCCAGACCUACUGAAUACAAAACUUAUAUCUGGGUCGUAAGUCGUAAGGCCUCCAAAAAAAAAGUUCAUAUUAUUCAUACCAAUCGGACAAAUCCCGCACCCAAAAACAAUGGCUAGAUAGAAAGUUCAAUUAUAGAUUAGGUAAUCUAUCCUUUUCAACUUAAAUGCACAUUCAUGAUGGUUAUGCAAAUCAUAUUAUGUUAACAAAUGCAACAAUUAAUUAUAUUUAUCCAUUUGGAAUGAUAUAUAUUUUCAAAGAUGGAAUUACAGACCCCGUUGACGUUGAGGCCAUUGCAUGAGAGAAUUUUAGAUGAUUUUCAAUUAAUUUAUAUUAUUGUUGUGAUAACCAUAAUAAUUAUUUUCUAAAUGUAAAACUAUAUUAAUGAAAUUUUCUUUGUCGGUCAAAAGAAGAUGAAAAGAUAUCUUUAUCUUCUAUCACAACAAAAAAAUUAAGGAUAUUAAUGUAAUAGGCUAAUAGCGAUGGGGUGAAGAAAUGGAACUAUCCUAAAUAGGCAGUUGCUGGUUAUAUUGGAUCAGGUGGUCUGAAUGAUUGGAUAAUUAGCAAAUAAAAAGGUUCCAUUUUUCAUGGACCCUCAAGUGGAAAUAUGGGAUAAAAGAUGGCAUAUACCAUUUUAUCCAUUUGUGAUUGUACAUUUUGAUGGUUGUGAUUUCACCCGAUGGCGCGGCAAGUGUGGAUUGGGAUAAGGAUGGUUUUGGUCUAUCAUCAAAGAUGGUUUGAUGUUCACGACUGGAUUUUACAACGCAUCCAAGUGCAUGGGUUCUAUAAAUACAGAGUUGCGCACAAUAAAAAAGUACAAAGGACCUUCAAACCUUUCACACACUCUGAGAAACUCCUGAUUCUCCCAACUUCGUCAACACAUCUUCAAUUUGGAUUAACAUCACUGUUUGUCAGUGAGGAGUCCUUAGUCUUCUCGUCUCAUUAGCCCUCUAGGUGAAGUGAGGUGUUACUGAAUUACUUGAGUAUUCAGCACAUUGAAAGUCGAACCUUAUUUGAACUUCACAGUAGUUAGCAAUCUUAUCUUCAGGUUUUAGAACCCAAUGCCAAGACAUAUUCCUUCCUCGACAGUGAUGGUUUGUACACAAAAGUUGGUUUGUACACAUAAGUCAGUAUUGUGUUUGACACACCAUCCCAUUCAUUCUACUAGCCCACAAACGCGUGGACUCGUCCAAAAUUACCCCACUCUCGGCCCGUUCACUUGCCCACUCGUCCCACGCGGCCCGUGAGUCUUCAGUGCCUGAUAGGGGGGCCUACUGUUAGGGCCGUUGUUGGCCACAACCCAGAGCCCAACGAUUUUUUUUUGCAUCCCACGACUGGCAUUUUUGGACCGUUGGUUGAUCCAACGGUCCAGAUUCAAAUUUUGUUUUUUUAAAUGUUAUUUUAAAAUACAUUGAAUCCAACGGCUGAGAUCGAAUAUAAUCAAAUCUAACGGUAAAAUAAAAAAAGAUAAAAAAAGAUAUAACAGUCCAAAUUUAAAUCCAACAGCUAAAAUAAUUUUAAAAAAAAUUAUUUAACUCAAAAUUCACCCAAAAACUCUAUAAAUACCUUUGUAUUUGUUCAAACAUCCACACAAAACUCAAUUUUCUCCCACAAUUCUUCCAUUUUUUCUUUCUACCAUUUCUUUCCAUUUCCAAAUUGUUCAACACGAUCCUUGAAUUGGCCAUCCCAAGCAGUAAGACAAUUCUUCCACUCCCAAAGCAUACAAUCGAGACUUCCUAUCAUGUCAGGAAAGCCUAUUUUGUCUGCUUUGAGUAGAAUGUGACGACAUGUCCCGAAUUAUUAUAUAUUUUUCUCCCUAAGUGUGUAAAGUGACGGUAAUGCCCUCGUGAUUUAGUGACGUGGAUGUACAUAUGUAGUUUUAAAUUAUUAUUUCUAUUGUCGUAGUUAAAUUGUACUCGACGCCAUGAGUGUGUUGAUGUGACCUAGGGCUAAAACAAAUUCGUAACGAAGAAGUUACGAACAGACGAGUGUGUAAAUGCGUAGAAAUAUAUUUUUAUGGGUUGGCUAUACCUUACCCACCAAUCACCUUAAUUCCUGAUUUCUUUGGCCUAAUUGAAUUAAAAAUAUCUCUCAUUUUUCCUUCUGCCCAAUCACGCACAUACACACCAUCACUCUCUCUCUUCUCUCGGACCUUCUUCUUCUUUCUUCUCAUUCCGUACACCCGAGCCACCCUUACCUCACAAUCAUCAUCAAAACAUUAUGGAUCGAAUUGGAAAUCACUACCAUCGCAGUCACCUCGAUCCCACGAACUCAUUGAUACCCUUAGGUCGAGGAAUAGACGUCGGGAAUUCGAGAACUCGGGAGCUCUGGCGAGGUGUAUUUUUCUACUUUGUGAUCGUGGUCUUUUUCUAUGGUUUAAAGGCUUGAGGUGGGUCCUAAUCAACUUUAUAGGGACCCUAGAUUAGUUUUGGAGCAGUUUGAACGUUGGAAUAGGUGAGAACAUGGAGUUGCAGGUUGGCCGGUUGAUCCAAGCCUUACUCCGACCACUUUCUGUCGGUUUUAGAACCUCAAGUAGGUAAGAUUGUAUUCUUCUAGUUGAGAGUUUCAAAUCCAUAUAAAAUUCAUGGAAUUUGGUUGAAAAAUGAUGAAGAUAUUAAAGUUUUAAGAUUUUUCCAAAAAUCAGCGACACAAACGGCGCCCGACGGCCAGCGAUGGAUUCCGACAAAGCCAUCGGAGAAGGAGGAGAAUAUUAUGUCUAACUUUGACAGAAUAUACUAACAGCGUCAGGUAACUCUAUUAGUUUUUAAACAAAAUAUUCUACUAUUUAAUGAAAUAUUCCCUAACGCCGUUAGGGAUUCCGUGCCUGCACGUGCCGGCUUAUGAGGGCGCGUGAGACGUCAGGAAAUUAAUCUAAAAAUAUUGGGGUGUUCGAGUUGUUGAGUAGGUCAUGUUGGUAUAUUCAAACACCCUAUUUGAGCAACGUAUGAGAAGUUAUUCCUAGGGUUUGUGUAUGUGCCUUAAAAUUAAUGUAAAAUUAGUUAUUUCGCAUAUAGGUGAGACUUACCCGGAGGACAAACGUGGUCAAACGAGACUUGGGGGCUACGAUCCUACUACUUACCAGUGAGCGGGCUUUUUUUUUCUAUAUAUAUGUAAAUAUGCUUAUGAAUCCCAUAAACUACUUUAAAUGAACGUAUGUUUUAAAUGCCAUGUCGUGUGCAUUAUGUGUUAGUAUUGCAUUAGUAUAGCUAUGCAUAGUAUUGGAUGAGACUGCGCAGACUCAGGUAAGUUUCAGGUGAGUACAUCAUGAUGGUAUUGGGUGCGUGUGUGUGGUUAUACGUUGAUGCAUUUUGAGCUUAUUAUCCUGCACAUUGGUGUUAGUGUUCUCGCCCAUGGCCAGGGCAUAGUUUUUCACAUGAUGUUCACCUCCUGGGCCGCACGCUCACUUUGGAUCCAAGUUUGGUGCACAGCCAUAUUGCACAGACCACAAUAGGUGGUUCCGACUCGUAGGUGACCUGCAAUUAUUUGCACAGCCUUCACGUGAUCGUAGCACUUAAGCGUACUUAUCUACACCCAGCCCUGUUGUACAGACCACAAUAGGUGGUUCCGACUUAUGUGCAUGCAUACUUGAUGAGCUAUAGAUUCAAUUGUACAGGUUACAUUAGGUGACUCCGGUUGGCAUACUAUUUUAGGUUGAUUCGUAUCACCUGGCUUACACAUUUUAUGGUUGAACAUCUUGACAUGGCAUACCUCUGUUUUCACUGCUCUAAGCAUUAUCCUUAUGUACCUAGUUGUUAUUAUUUUCUGGAAAAUUAUAUGGGUUUACAGUGAGGGGUUAGUAUGUUCAUAAAGACAACUGUGUUUUCAAAAACUUUGUUUUUGCCUACUCACAUUUUUUGUUUUGCACCCUUUCAGGUUCUAGGUAGUUGGUCAUCCUUGGUGGCUCACGAGGACUUUCACGGCGGUUCUGACAUCUCUGUAAAUAAGUAGGGAUUUUUUUCCCUGUUUGUAUAAUUAGUACUUAGUUGGUUCGAUUGCACUUUCGUUUACCCAUGCUCUGAUAUUUGUAUAACUUGCUUGGUCAUCUUUACUCACUUAUAUUAUCUUAGUUUAGAUAAGUUUGGUUUUAGGUUUUUAUUUAUUCGCAUUUCUUUUAUUAUUACUUCUGUUGCGCAUUUUGGCUACGUUACUCUUACGUGACGGGCAUCAUGUUUCGACUUCGGUUGGGGUGUGUCAUAAAAGCCUCUUCAAGUCUUCAUGAUUUGGCUUGCAGAGAUAUGUGGCUCCAUAUGUGGCCUGAAUUGCCCCACAGAAGCGCUCCAGGUUUUUAAUAGCAGUAGUCUCCGCAAGUCGGCAAUACUCAUCAGUUGAGUUUGCAGAGCACUCAUUAGCUAGCAUCCGAAAUGCAGAUGUGAGCUUCUGAUGAGGUGAUAGACUUUGUCGGCCUACGACAUUUAUCUUCCUUGCAAAGUAGUGGUCAUGAUUGACAACUGUGUUCAAGAUGCUUUCAAAAAUCUCUCUCCUCAUUCGAAACCGUCUCCGAAAAUCAUGAGCAGGAAAUCUCGGACGCUCAAUAAAAUAAUAUUUCAUCAUUCGGUCAUGACACUCUUCUCUAUCACGUUGCACAAAUGAACGCUUCGUGACAUAACCACAAUAGCUAGAUUCGACAUGGUGCUCAUAUUGCAUAAGCGAGUUUGGAAGUUUAGCUUAUGCGUUGAUCAUUUUUGAAUCCUCAAUGUCAAGGCUUGCUUGGUAUUAUGUCAUUUGCAUUGCCCUGCUACACCUUCUUCUAUCAUCCAUUGUUGAUAUAUUGAGGAUUUUUAUGAAACAAAAACACUUUGAAAGUUGAAAGAUUAGUGAAUAUAGGGAAUGAUUGAAGGUUGAAAGAUUGUGUGACCAACUGAUAUUGAACAUGUGUUUAUAUAGAGGAUGAUUGAUGAAAGUUGAAAGUUUGGUGAAAGUUGAACGGUUGGUGAAAGUUGAAGAUUUGUGAAAGUUAAAGACUUGCUUUGUGGAAAGAUUUAGUGAUUUUUUCAAUAUUUAUUGGAAUUUAAAUAUUUUUAUAUUAAAAUGUUCAUAAAAUUAAUUUACCAUAGGCUACAUAAUUUUUUUUAAAAGUUAAUUUAAGAAAAAAAAUUAGCCUAAGUUCAUUCUUUAAUAAUCCCGAACUAAAAUUUUAGGCUAGGGUUGGAGCAGAAAAACUGUUUCUGUGUUAAAAGCUAAAUUUUUUAGAUUAAAAAUUUUAAAUUUUAACCCAAAGGUUGGAGAUGAUUUAAGAAUGGAUAAACUUAACCAAGAAAAGAAGAAAAAAGAUGAAGGGCAAAUAAGUGAGAAGCAACAUGACACGACACACGGACGACCAUAGCAAUAAAGCGUGCGUCCUCACGUCCAUUGAAUAUAUAGAUGGGAGCUACAACAUCGUGUUUCACGUGCAUGUGUAUUAUACAUAAAGGCAUAUACAGUGUUAGCUUAUAUAUUAUAAAGUUUGUAGGCCACUUACCCAAUUUGGCAUAUGUUUUAUCUUUUUACGUGAAUAACCAAUGUGUUAUGAUGAUACAAGUCUCUUAACAUAUCCGGAGUUAGAAAUAUCAUAAGACAGUGUUGCGAUCAUAUUGAAAUUAAUUGACAGUUUGUAUUAUAUAUUUGAUUAUUCUUUAUUAACUUAAGGAGACAGCAUACUUAGACCUAAUUUAGUCACAUUCUCCAACCGAAAAUAAAGCGGUGUAGUAUUCAUACACUUUUUUUUAUUUCUUACACAGUCUUAAUUAAUUUCUAUUGUUUGAUCUUCUUCAAUUCAUUCGAUCUGACGACCGAAAAUUAAGAUGGUGUGUGGACGAGUAAAUUAUAACAAUGGUCCCUCAACUUUAAUCAAAUUGGAGCAAGGGUGCUCAACUAAAAAUCCAUUACCAUUGGUUCCUCAACUCAUCAAAAUGUGUAGCUAUGGUCAUUUUCGUCAACUUCGUUACAAUUUUGUCAAAAUAAGUUAUAUUGGAAUGACUAUUGCUACAAUUGGGGUCCCUCAACUCAUCAAAACGUGUAGCUAUGGUCAUUUUCAUCAAUUUCGUUAGAAUUUUAUCAAAAUGAGUUUUGUUGGAAUGACCAUUGCUACAAUUGAAUUAAAGUUGAGGGACUAUUAUUUCAAUUGAGUUAAAGUUGAAAGAUCAUUUCUUCAGUUGUAUUAAAGUUGAAGGAUCAAUGGUAAUGAAUUUUUAGUUGAGGGGACUAUAGCUGCACGUUUUAAUGAGUUGAGAGAACAAUAAUAAUGAAUUUUUAGUUGAAAAACUAUUACUUCAAUUGAGUUAAAAUUAAGAAACAAUUGCUACAAUUUUUUUAUAUGGAAAGUGGAUGAUGUGAAUAGCACAUCCAAAAAUAAAAGGGAACUUUAACGAAAAGCACCCGGUACUGUUCACUUUAACGAAAAACCACAUUUUUACACUAAAAAGUCAAUCCUGGUACUAUUCACUUUACCCUUUAUUUUGUCCUUAUCAUUAAAACUCAAAGUUUUCAAGCCCUUUUCAUUAGUUUUCCUAAAAUAAAAUGCACCACAAUUUGGUAGGAUCUUCCUGUUGAGAGUAAUAAAUUAAUAAUUGCCGAAAUAUUGGAUAAUUUGUCGGCCACAACGCUAUGAGGGAGUAUCUGGGGAUGAAUAUACUCUUGCCGACAGAUGCCCAAAUUCCAACUGCCAUUCAAAUGAGCCCUCCACCACCACCGGCCAUAAUAAAUUCUCUUUCUUUAGUGAAGAAGAAAAAGAGGUACUUGGCCCUCACCUCAACUUUUUGAGAAAGAACAAGUUUAUCGCUAUCAGAAUGUUUCGGUCAAUUAUAUAAGUUAUGUGUAAAUUUUUCUUUAGAUAACAUUACAUUAUUAUAUUUAAAAUGUUCCGUAACGAUAAAUUUGUUUCAUACAAAUUAUUCUCCAACUUCUUGGAUUUUUCUCCUUUUUCCCGAAAACCAGCUUAUAUUAGUGUUCAUCCUCUGUCAAUAUCACUCGCCCACAACUAUUCAACUAACUUUUAAUAAUUUGACAACGUGUCAUAUUUUUGUGCAAAGCGGGCCCAUUUUUGUGGGUGAUAUAAUAAUGGCGUAUGUGGUUUGUCAAGACAUAUACUCAUUUAUCCAUUAGCAGUUAGGUAAGUCACCUCACUCACCCACAGCCUAACACAUCAACAAAUAUUGCUUACAAAUUCUAGAAAAUUCGACCAAGAAAAAAAACCAAAUGCUCGCAAAUUAAAAUUGUGUAACAUGAUUAGUUUUUUAUCCAUUAGUAUUAAUUUUACGUUGGAAGAAAUUCCAAAUUUAUUCUUGUAAAGAGGGAUAUGAAAAUACUUUGUAUGUCUAUCACCAAAAUCUUCGAAUGUUUGAAUGGUUGAUUUUCAAGUCUCACACAAUUGGAUUUAGUUCAAGUGAGAAAGAAAUACACUCAAACUAUUAGAUAUGAGGAAUGAAAAUACACUACAAAAUCUUGUGAACAUUUCUAAUAUUCUCUUCUAUCUACUUUUUGUGAACCAAGUUUUUAUUUGUUUUUUUUUUUAACAAAAGAUAUUUUUUAUACUAGGGAAAUAAGGUGGGUUUAGCCUCAUAAUGGGCUAACAUAAUCUAGUUCAAACUUGCAUUUGGUGAGAAUCGAACCUAAAAUCUCUCACUUACAAGUGAAGAGGAAUACCAUUAGAAGUGUCAUGAAAUUAGCAGUCUUAUAUGUAAAAAAUUGAUUGACUAAAUGCUGUGUUAAAAAACAAGAUUAAUACUUGCAUCUCCCCACUUGGAAAAUGCAAAUAUUUCAUUUCUUGCAAAUAACGUAUAUCAUGCGUUCUGUUCAAUCGCAUAUUCAAAAAUGUUAAAAACAAGAUUAAUAUUUCUAUCUCCCCACUUGGAAAAUGCAGUAUUUCAUUUUUUACGAAUAACGUAUAUCCUGUGUUCCGUCCAAUCGCGUAUUAAAAAAAUGUGUGAAGUUUGGAUUAACUACACUCUUUGAGAAUUUCCUUAAAUAACCACUUUUUGAAAAUUUCUUAUAGGACUAAGUGAGUCUCCGCUGAGAAUUUCCUUAACUAACACAACACUACUUGAGUGAUAAUUUGUUAUAUCUUGAAUAGAGAAUAAAUCAGUUCCCUACUUUUGAAGGUACUAUUAACUUACACUAUAUUUGAAUGAGAACAAUAAACUUAGAAUUUAGAUGAAGGAAAUAAAACAGUUUCCUACUUUUGAAGGUACUACUCGAGUGAUAAUUUGUUAUAUCUUGAUAACGUGUCAUAUUUUUUUGCUAAGCGGACCCAUUUUUGUGGGGUGGUAUAAUAAUGGCGUUUGUUGUUUGUCAAGGGCAUAUACCCAUUUAUCCAUUAGCAGUUAGGUCACCUCACUCACCCACAACCUAGUACAUCAACAAAUAUUGCUUACAAAUUCUAGAAAAUUCAACCAAGAGAAAGAAAACCAAAUGCUCGCAAAUUAAUCUGUGUAACAUUAGUUUUUAUCCAUUAGUAUUUAUUUUACAUUGGAAGAAAUUCCAAAUUUAAUCUCGUAAAGAGGGAUAUGAAAAUACUUUGUAUAUCUAUUAUCAAAAUCUUUGAAUGUUUGAAUGAUUGAUCAUCAAGUCUCACACGAUUGAAUUUAGUUCAAGUGAGGAAGAAAUACACACAAACUAUUAUAUAUGAGGAUUGAAAAAUACACUACAAAAUCUUGUGAUAACAUUUCUAAUAUUCCUUUCUAUCUACAUUUUGUGAUAAGUUUUUUUUUUCCUUUUUUGAACAAACUAUAUUUAUCUACAUUAAGGGAGAGGAGGUGAUCUUAGCCUCACAAUGGGCUAGCAUAAUGUGGUUCAAAUUCGCCUUUGGCGAUAAUCGAACCUAAAACUUAUCAUUUACAAGUAAAUAGGAAUACCACUAGAUGGAUCAUGAAAUUAGCAGUCUUAUAGGUAAAAAAAAAUUGAUCGACUAAAUGAUGUGUUAAAAAACAAGAUUAAUACUUGCAUCUCUCCACUUGAAAAAUGUAGAUAUUUCUGUGAACACGGAAAAUUCCUGAAACGAAAGAGACAAGAACAACGUGCACAAAAUAAUAUUUUGGUGUUAAUGGAUUUGUUGGGUUACGAUCUCUUUUAACUUGAUCCUCUGAUUCGAUCUCCGUAAGGUGUUGAUUUAUGGAUGUUUCGUUGAUCCAAGGGCUGUUGAGGCUUGAUCUUAGAUGAACUGUUGGAAGUUUCUUCAAGGGGCCGUGGGCUUGAUCUUUGAAGGUGGAUUUGAGCGGAUCUUCAAGGAGCCGUUGGGGCUUGAUCUUGAGGAUGAGUGUUUCUUCAAGGGCCGUUAAGGCUUGAUCUUGAAUAACGGUGAUGAACGGAUCUUCAAGGGCUUUUGGGCUUGAUCUUGAAGAACGGUUGGAUGUGUGGAUUUGUUGAUGUUGUUGAUCCAAGGGCCGUCGGAGCUUGAUCUUGGAAGAACGAUGAACGAAGAACGAAGAACACUUUCUUCAAAGGCCGUCGGGGCUUGAUCUUGAAUUGGUGAUUGUUGAUCCAAGGGCCGUCGGGGCUUGAUCUUGGAAGAACGAUGAACGAAGAACGAAGAACACUUUCUUCAAGGGCUGUCGGGGCUUGAUCUUGAAUUGGUGAUUGUUAAUCCAAGGGCCGUCGGGGCUUGAUCUUGAUUCUUCGGGAUGAACGGAUGAUGAACAAUGAACACUUUCUUCAAGGGCCGUCGGGGCUUGAUCUUGAAUUGGUGGAAGUUCUUCAAGGGCCUUUGGGGCUUGAUCUUGAAGGUGGAUGAUUGUUGAUCCAAGGGCCGUCGGGGCUUGAUCUUGGGAUGAACAGUUGUGUGGAUUUGUUGAACACUUUCUUCAAGGGCCGUCGAUGCUUGAUCUUGAAUUGGUGGAAGUUCUUCAAGGGCCGUUGGGGCUUGAUCUUGAAGGAGGAUUUGACGAAGAACGAAGAGGGCUUUCUUGAUCCUUCGGGAUUUGCUUGAAUUUGGGAGGUUGGAUGCUUGAAAGCUUUAGAGUUUCAAAGCUUCAAGGAUUUUGGAUGUGUGGGGAGUAUUCUCUUCCAUUUUGGGAGUAGAGAAAUGUAUUUGUGAAUUGGUUUUUGAUACCUUGAUGUAGAAGCCUAUUUAUAGGCUUUGAGAAUGAAUCACCACCACAAAAUAUUUUUUUUCUUUUCCAAGCACCAUUGCCUAAUUUCCCACUUAAUACAAUUUUAAACUUGAAGUGGUAAUUUUAUGGCCUAAUUUUCCACUUAAUAUCAUUUUAAACUUGAUAUGUGCAUGCUUUGUCAUUGCCCAAAAUGAGAAGAAAACCUUGUUUUGAUCUUCAAUGAAUUGAAAUGUGCUUGCCUUGUCAUUGCCCAAAAUGAGAAGAAAAACUUGUGUAAUCCUUCAAGGGUAUUUCUUUUUAUUUUGUUGAGUCGCACACCAUGUGUACAAUUUGUAUGACACGUGGCAUAUGCCAUGUACGCCUUGACACGUCAAAAUUUUAAUGCGUUGGUGAACAUUUAUUUCACCGCAAUUUCGGUGUCUACAAAUGCCCCCACUUCAAGGUGCGUCGUAUACAUGUGCUUGUCACGUGUAGGAGAUGCGUUUUGAAGUCCCUUACUGUAGAUGUCAAUCCAAUGGCCAUCGAGGCUUGAUCUUGAAUUGGGCUGGAGAUUUCUUCAAGGGCCGUUGAGGCUUGUUCUUGGACUUUGUUUGAAAUUUCUUCAAGGGCCAUCGAGGCUUGAUCUUGAAGGUUGAAAUUGGACCACAAGGAGCUUCAUGUGGUAGAUGAUCUUUGGCUUUGGUAGUGGAUGAAUCGGCACGUAUUUGUUUUUGCGCUUUGUUGACUUUCCACAGCUUUGAUCUUGAACUGGGUUGGAGGAUUUUUUGGAUUCCUCCAAUUGUUGAUUUUCCACAGUUUAUUCUUGAACUGGAUUUGAUUCAAAUAUGGUGGACGCUUGAUCUUGAAUCGGACUUGUGAUUUCCUCAAGGGCCGUCGAGGCUUGAUCUUGAAUUUGGCCGGAAACUUCUUCAAGGGCCGUUGAGGCUUGAUUCUUGAAGGUUGACUCGAACACAUGGCAAGCAGGCACGAGGUGAAGGUGACGACUUGUUGCUUUGUUCAAUCUUUCUAAUUCACACCUGAGCAGUUUGGUCAACGGUAUGAUCUUCAAGAUUGAUGGGCUCUUCUUCCAGUUGGUGAUUUGAUCUUUAAGGAUUUGAUUCAAGGGUGGUGAAACGGCACAUGCAGCCCACAACGCCUAGCAAGUCGACCCAAGAAUUUGAGGGUUAAAACGAGUCCUCCACCCAGAGUGAUUGCAAACCUGAUGAUAUGAGAUACUUUUGAUUUUGAAGAAGUAGCGGAUGAAUCGGCACGUGCUUUGUUGUGCUUGUCUCCACAUGCUUCAAUGUAUCAUUUUCCCUUGUCUUAUCUAUUCUUCUAGCAGAAUGUAGCAUCUUCUUAAGUUCUUCAACUCAGACUCCUUCUGCUGAGCUGACUGUGCAGGCUGCAUUAUUCUCUGCUUGUUUCUUUAGGCAGAUGUGGCAGCUUCUUGAGUUCCUCAGCUCGGACUCCUUCUGCUGAGCUGAUUGUGAAGACUGCAUUCUUAUCUGCUUGUUUCUUCUGUACGUUGUCUCCACAUGCUGCAAGGUAUCAUUUUCAAUUGCCUUAUUUGUUUUCCAGGCAAAUGUGGCAUCCGAGUUUGAGUGGAGGUUCUGGCAUAUUGUUUUCUUUAUCCUUGUCUUUGUAGGUAAGAACAAGGACAAAGGAAAGGACAGGGAGAACGCAUGAUAUGAUAUACUCUUGCUUUCUACCCUGGUGAUAUGAGAUACUUUUGCUUUGGUGUCAUUUGUUUGCAGAGGUACCCCAAGGAAUAAGAAACACUGAGUGACUCGAGAGGCUUUGUUGGGAAGGCAUUCUAGGAGAUGAAGAAAGGUUCUUGGAGAUGAAGAAAGGUUCUCGGAGAUGAAGAAAGGUUAUGUAUGUCUGCCUUGCUAUGGAGGGUAAAGGUGGACAGUUAUAGGAAAUUCUUUAGUACCUGUAGAGGUACUAUUCUUUUACUCGUGUCGGCAACCAAUGUGUGAUUGAUCAGUAUGGCUUCACGUGUUUUCUUCUUUAUCAGAAAUCUUCGACAAAUUGUCCGUAAUUUUCGUCAAGCUGAGUGUGCAUGUGACAGGUGUUGACGAGGCUGAAAAAGACUGGUGCCUCUUCGAUAUCUGGGAUCGGCGCUUCGACAAAUUGCCCGUGAUUUCCGCAAAGCUGAGUUUGCGCGUGACGGGUGCUGACGAGGCUGAAAAAGACUGGCGCCUCUUCGAUAUCUGGGAUUGGCGCUUUAACAAAUUGCCCAUGAUUUCUGCAAAGCUGAGUUUGCACGUGACGGGUGCUAACGCGUCUGGAAAAGCAAGAUGCUUCUCCGAUUUCUGAGCUUGCCUCUUUGAUUUUUGAAUUGGCCUCUUCGAAUUCUGAGCUCGCCUCUUCGAUCUUUGAAAUCCCAUCGAGUGUUGAUCUUUAUAGAGGCACGCAGUUCGUUUCAAAGCACACUUGAAUUUUCGCUUGUAGAAACUCCCUUCUUGCACUUCUAAGAUCUUGAUUUGUCCGACCUCUUCUUUCUUCAACACCUUUGAAAAUGUCUGGACCCUCCGACCGUCAUUUUGAUUUGAACCUUGGUGAAGAGGUAGUCCCGUCUUCUCCAGAUAACAUAUGACGCCCAUCUUUCAUAUCCCCUACUGGUCCUCUUACCGUUGGGGAUUCGGUGGUGAAGAAUGAUAUGACCGCUGCGGUGGUGGCCCGAAACCUUGUCACUCCCAGAGAUAACAGACUACUUUCCAAACGGUCUGAUGAGUUGGCUGUUAAGGAUUCUCUGGCUCUCAGUGUGCAGUGUGCAGGUUCUGUGUCUAAUAUGGCCCAACGCCUAUUUGCUCGAACCCGUCAAGUUGAAUCAUUGGCGGCUGAAGUGAUGAGUCUCAAACAGGAGAUAUUAGAGGGCUCAAGCAGAGAGAUAAACAGUUGCAUAAGCUCGCACAUAGCUAUGCGACAAACAUGAAGAGGAAGAUUAACCAGAUGCAGGAAUCUGAUGGUCAGAUUUUACUUGAUCAUCAGAGGUUUGUGGGUUUGUUCCAGCAGCAUUUGCCUUCGUCUUCUGGGGCUGUACCGCGUAAUGAAGCUCCAAAUGAUCAACCCUUGGCUCCUCUUCUUCCUGGAGUUCCGCCGAGUGGUGUGGCUUCAAACAGUCAACCUCCGACGCCUCUCAUUUCUGGAGCUCUGCUGAGUGGUGAGGUGGCACCUAAUCGUCCUUGAAGAUCCCCUCUUGUAAAUUUGAUUUGAUUUUUUUUUAAGUAUGUAUAAUGCAAAUUUAUGUAAAAUUUCCAGAAAAAAUAAAUAAAAACGGACUUUAUUUCUCUCAAUGCAUUUGUUUUGUUUUGUUUUUGUUUUUUUUGUUUUUUUGUUUUUGUUUUUUUUGUAAAUACAUAAUAACAUAUGUAUUUAUUUAUUUAUUCUUUUGUAAUAAAAUUGACUUUCUUUAAUAAAACUUUUAUAUUUUUCUUAUUUAUUUUGAUAUGACUGAACUCGAAAUUGAAUGUUCGAGCCGCCUACGUACCCUUCCAAAGAAGAGAUCAAGCCAUAACGUAGUUCAAAUGAGUGAUGAAUUUAAUAGUGAUUUUGAUGAUGAUUUUGCCGUACACAGUUUAUGCUCUUGUGGGCCAGGAGCUUUGGUGUUGCCUUUUAUGCUCGUGCAGACCAGGAGCGUUGAUGUCGCCUUUUAUGCUCGUGUGGGUCAGGAGCGUUGAUGUUGCCUUUUAUGCUCGUGCAGACCAGGAGCUUUGUGCCAUGCAGUUUAGACUCGUGCGGGCAAGGAGCUUUGGUUCGUGCAGUUUAGGCUCAUGCGAACAAGGAGCAUUGGUUCGUGCAGUUUAGGCUCGUGCGAACAAGGAGCAUUGGUGUUGCCUUUUAUGCUCGUGCAGACCAGGAGCUUUGUGCUAUGCAGUUUAGACUCGUGCGGGUGAGGAGAAUUUGUGAAUUUUGUCAAGCACUUUUGGAGAGGCGUUCCUUACAAUCUUCAUAGCAAGGAGCCUUGACCGAGUGAUUGAAGAAGUCUUCGGGAAAGAAGUCGCACAUCGUGAUGGCAACAGACGAUCUUUGUGUCGUAAUUUCAUCAUCUUCAACACGUUCACGUUGCUUUGAAGGUUGACAAGAGCUGCUUUGCCCCCUUUCCGAUUGGCGGACUUGUGGAGGAGACGUAUGCUUCUUGUGCCAUUUCUUAGGAGUGACUUGAGUCCAUCCUUCAAGUUUGCUUGUUUUGGAGGAUGCCCCCGGCGGUUGAGGUGAAAAUUUUGUGUUGAAAGAGCCAGAAGUGAUGGUGGUAUAGUUUGACUUCACCACAUCGUCAAGAUCUAGCUCGAUGAUUCCUUUCUGAGCCCACUUUAUGAUGAGAUCUUUCAGCACAAAGCACUUUUCUGUCGGAUGACUGAUGAAGCGGUGGAAUUUACAGUAUCUUGGACUGUUGGUACGAUUCAUCUCUUCCGGCCAUCUGCACUCAGGCAAACUGAUCACCUUCUUGUCCAACAGGUCAUCCAACAUGGCAACCACAUCAGAGUCAGGGAAUGGAUAAGUCUUCUCUUUAAGCUCCUUCAAAGUGCGUCUACGCAUCUCUUGAUCACGAAAAGCUUCGGUUUGAAUCGUUUUGCCUCGUGUGGAGAUUUUGACGGGAGAUGUGUUGACUGUCAUUGCUUCCUUGGUGGAUUUCCACGUAGCCUUCUCCACCUUUGUCUCAAGAAUUUUGUCGUUCUUGUAGUCGGCGAUCGGUUCCUUCUUCCCAUGAUGGGUGAUGCUCAACUCCAUGUCAUGGGCGUGGGUGGCCAAUUCCUCGAAGGUCCGUGGUUUAAUGCCUUGAAGGAUGUAUUGCAAACCUCAUUGCAUGCCUUGGAUGCACAUCUCGAUUGAAGAGGUCUCCGAGAGCCUAUCUUUGCAGUCGAGGCUUAGAGUGCGCCAUCUGUUGAUGUAGUCAAUGACCGGCUCAUCUUUCCAUUGCUUCAUACUUGUGAGCUCCAACAUGCUUACAGUGCGGCGGGUGUUGUAGAAGCGGUUGAGGAAUUCCCGCUCCAAUUGCUCCCAGCUGUUGAUGGACUCAGGCUCUAGGUCCGUGUACCACUCAAAUGCGUUUCUUUUCAGCGAGCGCAUAAACUGCUUGGCGAAGUAGUCCCCCUCCGUCCCCGCGUUGUUGCAAGUUUUGACGAAAUGUGCAACGUGCUGCUUUGGGUUUCCUUUUCCAUCAAACUGCAUGAACUUUGGUGGUUGAUAUCCCAUCGGCAUCUUUAGGGCAUCAAUCUUCUUUGAAUAAGGCUUUGAGUACAACCCGGAGGUAUUUGAGCUCCCUUCGUACUAUGCCUUGACGGUGCUGGCAAUCAUCUCUUGCAACUGUUGGAUAGAAAGAGAUCCCAUGAGUGCCGCUUCUUGGUCUGGCUCCGGCUUCACAUCGAUUUUCUCCACCGUAGGCUCAUCUUCUGGGUUAGGGUUCUCGCUGUCCUGUGGCUCCAGUUGACUGAUGAGUGCAGCGAUUUGCAAGUCUUUUUCUUCCACAGUUCGGGUUAGCCUUGCGAUUGCUUCAUUCAUUUGAGCCAGUUGUUCUUCGAUGGAGGUAACGCCGAUGGUCAUGACUUGUGCAACCAAUAGACGUGACUUUCCUUUAGACAUCCAAGAUGCUGAAGAAGAACGUCAUUGGUUGUUUUGGGAUGUCAUCUUGUGUGCCUCAGCAACAUGCUUUGGUGCCCCCAGCGAGGUCAGGUUGAUGACAGACUCACACCUUUGAUGCUCCCUUUGCUCUUUUAGCGGCACCAACUUUGAAGUGGCAUGUUAAGGAGCGGUUGUGGUGCUAAUGGAUUGUCCAUUUGCGGCAGAAGUGCUUAGGAUCCUUCCCUCAGUGAUUGCGAGAACGGCUUGUCCCUUGCUUGAUGCCAUUGAUUUUGAGGUGUGUUUGGAUUCCUUAAACGGAGAAAGAUAUGAGAGGUAGAGAUUGUCCCACCGGGCGUGCCAAUUUGUGAACACGAAAAUUUCCUGAAACGAAAGAGACAAGAACAACGUGCACAAAAUAAUAUUUUGGUGUUAAUGGAUUUGUUGGGUUACGAUCUCUUUUAACUUGAUCCUCUGAUUCGAUCUCCGUAAGGUGUUGAUUUAUGGAUGUUUCGUUGAUCUAAGGGCCGUCGAGGCUUGAUCUUGGAUGAACUGUUGGAAGUUUCUUCAAGGGGCCGUGGGCUUGAUCUUUGAAGGUGGAUUUGAGCGGAUCUUCAAGGAGCCGUUGGGGCUUGAUCUUGAGGAUGAGUGUUUCUUCAAGGGCCGUUAAGGCUUGAUCUUGAAUAACGGUGAUGAACGGAUCUUCAAGGGCUUUUGGGCUUGAUCUUGAAGAACGGUUGGAUGUGUGGAUUUGUUGAUGUUGUUGAUCCAAGGGCCGUCGGGGCUUGAUCUUGGAAGAACGAUGAACGAAGAACGAAGAACACUUUCUUCAAAGGCCGUCGGGGCUUGAUCUUGAAUUGGUGAUUGUUGAUCCAAGGGCCGUCGGGGCUUGAUCUUGGAAGAACGGUGAACGAAGAAUGAAGAACGAAGAACACUUUCUUCAAGGGCCGUCGGGGCUUGAUCUUGAAUUGGUGAUUGUUAAUCAAAGGGCCGUCGGGGCUUGAUCUUGGAAGAACGAUGAACGAAGAACGAAGAAGGCUUUCUUGAUUCUUCGGGAUGAACGGAUGAUGAACAAUGAACACUUUCUUCAAGGGCCAUCGGGGCUUGAUCUUGAAUUGGUGGAAGUUCUUCAGGGCCUUUGGGGCUUGAUCUUGAAGGUGGAUGAUUGUUGAUCCAAGGGCCGUCGGGGCUUGAUCUUGGGAUGAACAGUUGUGUGGAUUUGUUGAACACUUUCUUCAAGGGCCGUCGAUGCUUGAUCUUGAAUUGGUGGAAGUUCGUCAAGGGCCGUUGGGGCUUGAUCUUGAAGAAGGAUUUGACGAAGAACGAAGAGAGCUUUCUUGAUCCUUCGGAAUUUGCUUGAAUUUGGGAGGUUGGAUGCUUGAAAGCUUUAGAGUUUCAAAGCUUCAAGGAUUUUGGAUGUGUGGGGAGUAUUCUCUUACAUUUUGGGAGUAGAGAAAUGUAUUUGUGAAUUGGUUUUUGAUACCUUGAUGUAGAAGCCUAUUUAUAGGCUUUGAGAAUGAAUCACCACCACAAAAUAUUUUUUUCUUUUCCAAGCACCAUUGCCUAAUUUCCCACUUAAUACAAUUUUAAACUUGAAGUGGUAAUUUUAUGGCCUAAUUUUCCACUUAAUAUCAUUUUAAACUUGAUAUGUGCAUGCUUUGUCAUUGCCCAAAAUGAGAAGAAAACCUUGUUUUGAUCUUCAAUGGAUUGAAAUGUGCUUUGCCUUGUCAUUGCCCAAAAUGAGAAGAAAAACUUGUGUAAUCCUCCAAGGGUAUUUCUUUUUAUUUUGUUGAGUCACACACCAUGUGUACAAUUUGUAUGACACGUGGCAUAUGCCAUAUAUGCCUUGACACGUCAAAAUUUUAAUGCGUUGGUGAACAUUUAUUUCACCGCAAUUUCGAUGUCUACAAUUUCAUUUCUUGUGAAUAAUGUUUAUCCUGUGUUCUGUCCAAUCGCGUAUUAAAAAAUGUGUGAAGUUUGGAUUAACCACACUCUUUUAGAAUUUCCUUUAUUUACCACUUUUUGAGAAUUUCCAAUAAGACUGGGUGAGUCUCCGCUGAGAAUUUCCUCAACUAACACCACACUACUUGAGGGAUAAUUUGUUAUAUCUUUGAAUAAAGAAUAAAACAGUUUCCUACUUUUGAAGGUACUAUUAACUUACACUAUAUUUGGAUGAAGGUCAAACUUUAUAAAUUGACAUACACCAAAUUCUUUGUUUGGAUUCAUAAACAUAUAAAUUUAGAAUUUCCGCGUGGAAAAAAAAAAUACUUAGAAUUUGAGACCUCCAAUUCUCAAAUUGAAAGUUUAAAAAUAAUAAAUUCCGUAUUCAAUUCAAUUGUUCUUUUAGGUUAACCAAAUAAGAAAAUUCACAAAUUCUAAAAUAUAAAAUCUCAUCAUUUCAAUUUCCGUCAUUUUAAAAUUCCUUAGUAAUAUUAAAUUUCUUCAUCCAAACAUAGUGUUAAGAAAUUUUUUAAAGAUACACUAUUUACACUCAUUUUUAUUUCUUACACAUUUAUUAACUUUGUCCAUUGAUUUCUUCAAUUCAUUUUGCCAGUUAUACAAAAAUUGAGAACAGUAUUUAUGAAUUAAAAAUACAUUUGUAGAUGUCACUACCAAAUUUUUAUUCCUAAUUCAAGAAAAUCUUAUCCAUAUAUGAUUGCCCUUGCCCACUUUAAAUGGGUGCCAUCACUUUACGAUAGAGCAAUCCUAACCGUCCACCUAGGUAAGCAUAACUGGCGAUGCAUGUCGCAAGGGGACCGCAUUGCACAAUAUAAUUAUACUAGUUGAUAAGACAAGUGAUGUCAAUCAAUAAAUUAUUUCAUUAAAACUUAGUUGUAUGUAUCAUAUGUUGUAAUGUAGGGUGUAUGAUAUGCUGACGCUGUAAAAAAAUGUAACCUUUUUAAUAUUACUCAUAAUAGUAAGACUUACCAGUAUUAGGAUGUUAUCAGUGGAAUGAGAAUCCUCUCCAGAUCUUUUUUGUGAGCUAUUAUUUGUAUUUAAUUUUAAAUAUAAAAAAUUAAAAUAAUUUAUGACGGCAGUGAUUCACAUGAUCUUCACAAAGAGAAUCCAAAUAAUCUUAAUUUAUAUCAGUGUGUCUAGAUAACAUGAUCGAGCCCCUUUACUUUUACCCUAUUUAGUAUUUUACAUUUGAACCUGUAAAUAUUCGAUUUUUCUUUGGUGCAACCGAGCACCAAAUAUAGAUUUUUUUUCACUUUUAUAUAAUGAUAAAUAAAGGGCAAUUGGCAGAUUUGAAUUCCAUUCGGAUUGGUCAAAAAUCAUUUUAAAUUGUUUUAUUUAAAAUUAAACACAUAUAGUACUUAAUAAAAAUUAGUCGUACAAUAUACGAUAAACAGAUAUAAUGUAAGGACCUUUAUGAUCUUCACAAAAAAGAUCCAAAGGUUGUGUAGCUGUUUCAAAAGGAUAAUACUCACUUUUGAUUAGUUCAAUGAAAUUUUAAACAUGUUUUAUUGUUUUAAAAAAUAAUAAACAUAUUUAUUAAUGUUUGUUUUACUUUAAAAAAUAAGCAGCACUUGACAACAUUUGAUUGUGCUAAAUAAAAAAUGAGUGACCACUUAGUACUACAGUCUUAUGAUAUUUUUCUUCAUUUGAAAGUGAGAGGUUUUAAGUUCGAAUCUCGUGGAUGACGAAUUUGAUAUCAAAUUAGAUUGCUCACUAUGUGGCUUAGCCGAACUCUCAUUUCCUUUAAUGUAAAAAUAUUGAUGUAUUCAAAAAAAUAAAAAGUGACUAUAGAGGACACUCAAUCUCAGCUGUAUGAUUAAAUCAGACGGUAAGAAAAAUUCUGCAAGCAUACUCGGUUACAUUAAUUGAAGAAAAAAUGGGUAAAUAUUGGGCACCAACGUUAUAAAUACCCUCCACCAUGCACCCAACUCCCUCACACCAUCACAACCCACGUUACAAAUCCUCCUCCUCAUCAUAACCAUUCUGUUUUCCGCAUAAUAUCCAAAAACCUAUCAUGUCUGAAGAGAAACACCACCGCGGUCUCUUCCACCACCACAAGGAUGAAGACAAACCCUCAGACUACCCUCAGUCUGGCUACUCUGAUGAAGGACGUCCCGGCGGCCUCGGUGGUGGUUACGGCGACACCAAUGAUUAUUCUGGUGAAGGACGUACCGGCGGCCUAGGUGGUGGCUAUGGCGACACCAAUGCUUAUUCUGGUGAAGGACGUCCCGGCGGCUAUGGCGGCUAUAACGAGACCACUGCUUACUCUGAGGAAAGAGUUGAAAGACCCGGCGGUGGCCGGUACAGUGAGACUACUGCGGCAUAUGGCAGCACCACCACUCAUGAAUCUGAACUUGAUUACAAGAAGGAGGAGAAGCACCACAAGCAU